AUAUACCGCGGCCCAGAAUCCCUACGAAAACUAAACAACGGUUCACAACAAAAGAACACAAAUAGGGCGAUGGCCGACGUAAAUUUAGCUAGCUCUAGUGAAGUCGUCAUCGAAUCAAGAGAUUCUAUCGAAACAGGAAACGAAGCUUUCGAACCAGCUUCAAAAAAGCAGCGUAAAGAAGAAAGUAACGUUGAGAAAACUAAAAACGCAGAUGAAAGAUUAGAAACUCGACUAGGGGGCAUUUUGUGUUGUUCCGUUUGCCUGGAUCUGCCUUCGAGCGCAGUAUAUCAAUGCUCUAAUGGACAUUUGUCAUGUGUUGGUUGCUUCAACCAUCUGCUAGCAGAUGCUCGUAUGAGAGAUGAGACUGCAACAUGCCCCAACUGCCGCACAGAAAUCAGUAAAACUUUGUCCUCCAGAAAUUUGGCUGUUGAAAAAGCUGUUUCUGAGCUUCCAGCACAAUGCCGCUAUUGUUCAAAUGAAUACUCUAGAAACACUGUUGAGAAACACGAAAAAGAACUGUGUGAGGAAAGGACAACUAUGUGCAAAUUUAGUCGGAUUGGUUGUCAGUGGCGUGGUCCAUUCCACGAAGUCGUGGUUCAUGAAUCUGUCUGUGUUCACCCACACAGAAGUGGUGGUGAGCUAAUGGAAUAUCUUCUCAAUAUGGAUGGAAAUCACCAGGAAGAGAAAAAACUCUAUGGAACUUUGUUUGAUUUGCUAUCAUUCGAAAAAAUUGCAUUCAGUGACGUUCAGUUAAAACCGUAUCGAACUGACGAGUUCAUUCAUAAAUUGUACUAUGAAACCAGCCGGUUUUAUGCCUUCAGCCACCAGUGGGUAAUCAAAGCGCGCAUCAACGCAGACCAAAAGGAUCCUACUCAAUCAUCGGAACGUGGAAUAAGUUACCAGUUAAUAUUGAAAUCAAAAGCCACCAGUCCCAUCACACUUUACUUUCUCAUGCUACGUGGACCAUUUGGGGAAAUGCAAGUUCAACCCAAAAUCUAUCAUUUCGAGUUUUCCGAAUCGAAUUGUGAAAGCCCGUUGGUGGCCUUCCCACUUACAGAUUCAGCUGAAUGCAACAAGGUUCUUUCGGGCAAAGCAAUCAACUGCCGGUUGAUCAUGUUUAUGUGUCCCAAAUGAAACAGGGGUUGACCCUUAUGUUUUCUGGUGUGGCAUAUUUUGGCCAAAAAUUGAAAAUCGGAUUCGUGCGCAUCUGUUCGUCGUAGCAUAGAUACUUUAGACGGAGAAAGGGAGUGGAACCGAAAAUCUGUUGCGCUCAGGAUUUCUUGAUCUCGACAACAACCAUUUAUUAUACUUUUUGUAGUCUUUUAGCGUCUUCUGCUGAAUUUUAAAUUCUCCGGGAUCCACUCUUCCAACUCUUUACCUCAUGCGAGCAAGACCAACGUAUCUUGACGUUCUUAUUUUUAUUUUUGCGCAUUAUUAUUAUUUUGUCUAACAUUUCUUUUGCGAACACAUUUUUUCUUUUUUUUUUUUAUAAACAAAUUUUUAUAUAGCAAACGUACAUAUAAGAAAACAAAUUUAUUCGAAGAAACACAGAAAGGACGUAGAGCUGAAAUAUAGUAUGAUUUAGUGAUUUGUAACUUUGUAUUGAUUUAAUGAUCAAUUUUCUCACAGUACCACAGUAAAAAUAUCCCACCUUUUUCAGGGUUGGUUCAGCUCUCGACUGCCACCUAUAAAAGGAAAACAAAAGACAAAGAAUCAAUACAUAUGUUUUCAGGCGAUGAUUAAAGCGCAUUGCAUUGUGUUGUUUCCUUGUAGGAGAGGAAGAGAUGGAUGUGACACGUUCUGCUCUUUCGGUAAGAAAAUAUUUAUAGUAAGUUGAGCAAACCGACGUCCUCCUCUCGACGCAUAAAGGUUGUAUUUAACACUUUGGGCUCAACUUUUGUGUUUUGCCAAAUGUUCCAUUCCAUUUGGUCAGCAUUGGCAGCCGGCAAACGGAAAACAACGUCAAUCGUGAAUAGGUGCCAAGCAUGAUGCAAAGAGAAUAACUGUGCUGUUGUUGCUUCACCGUUGAAUUAUUGAUUCGAUUAUUUUUUAUUUUUUUCUCCCUCGACAGCCUGGAAUAGCGUACUUCUAGGAACCUUCGAUGACGUUUGUUUACCAUCACACUUUGACAAGAGUUUUUUUUUUCUCUCCCCGAGUUUGAAGAAUGAUGAGUGCACGACCAAAGAAUGGGCACUGUCAAGUGAAGCUUUGCAUUUUUCAAACAACCGUCUCCUUUUCUCUACCCUUCACUUUUUACUAAAAAAAACUUUUGUAGUGUCGAUGUCUCCCUGGCUUCGCUCUCUGUGUCUUGUUAUUCAUCCAAAGCAAACACGAGACGAUGAGUGUACGGUAUUAUAGUUGCAAGUUGUUUUUCUUUUCUUAAAUUUCUUGGUAGGUGUAUGCACCGAAACAUCCCAUGUCACACAAAUUAAUUUGAAUAGUCAAAACACACUUGUGUAGUCUCCGCUUGUGUAUGUAUUAUAUCCUUCAGGUACAUAGGCAAGCGUGCGUCGACGUGUGCGAGCGUGAUGGGCGUAGUCGAAGCAAAAAGAACAAGACACACACGCACAGCGAGACGGGAAUAAUCUAUUUGCUACUCGACAGCAUUUUCGAACGUGUUUUCUUUCUAAAACUUACAUACGUGUAGUAUAGAUCUCCCACGACUAAUGCGCCAGCGGAUCGAUUCCAGUCUAUUUUGAAUGACGUAUUUCAUUUGCGUGCAUUUCAUCUUUCACAAGUUAUUCAGACAAGAAAGAACUGGUCGAGAGAGAAAUUUAUUCAAACUGCUUGAAUUUACUUUUAGAUUGCAUUUACAUCCGUACCUUCAUUCAAUCUGUUUUUGCUUUGUUUUGUUUGCUGUAUUUUAUCCCGUUUUAUUUUAUUUUUUCUUCUCUUAAGGCAUGUUGAAAAGUAUUAAAUUCAACUUGAGAUCGAGAAAGAUGAAGCUUCUUGAUCGAAUGGGCGUAAUUACCGUUUUCUCCCAGCAGUUGACUGGGAACGGAGACAUCAUCCUCUCCGGAUUUCAAAGAAGGACUGAGAGAGAAAGAGAUAGACGAUGUUCUGACUGAAGUAUUAUUCAUUUAUAUUUUUUUUUUCUUCUUCUUCUUCUUCUUCUUAUCAAAUCGCUCUCUACUGUCCCCGGAAGUCGUCCAGAGUAGCAUAGCGCGAACCGCACAAACAGUUGGGCGGAUCUUGGGCGUUUGAUUUCUGCGAGUCUUGCCCUGAAAUCGCUGCGCUCUCGUAUAAAGUGAUGCGGAUCAAACGAAAUGUAAUAAAGAAGUUCACUCUACUCGGGGAUGUAGUAUUGCCCUGCAUUAUUCUCUAUUUGCAAUGCGGGGAGGUGCGUGCGUGGGUCACUUGAUUUCACGGGCCGAGGAGACGUAAUAGCGCAGAAAAGGGGGGGGGGGGGGGGGGAGCAGGGAGAGGAGGAAGGAAAGUGUCGAACAUAAAAAUGUAAGCCCAGAUGGCUCCAAUUUACGAGCAGUACUUGAAGACGGGAGAGGACGGUGAAAAACAGUGCGCUCCGCAUGCAACUGGCACGUCAUUGCUCCAAUGUUUUUUGGAGGGGAAUCGACCCAGUCCCAUCACUCUUUUUUCCCCUUUUUCUUCUUUUCCCUCUUUUAUUUUUUGGUGUAUGCCAGGCCAAAAAGUUUGUGGACGUUCCCUUCGAAGCUAUAUACAGAAUAUACACCCAGCACUCUGGUCGUAAAAAAAAACUAAACAUAAUGAGGCAGCGUUAUAAGGUGUGCGUGUGUGGGCCAAUAUGAAAUACUACGGUCUCCAAUUGGACUAAAGAUCCUCUUGAUGGCUCUUCUUACGACUUAAGCUCUAAACGCUUUCUCUUUAACCUUGUCGGUUGCGUCAUUUGGCUCCAGUAGAAGCUGCACCGCACGUAUAGUCUAAUGCCUGGGCGGCUCUAUAAGGAGAAGGAAGAAGCUUAAUGAAAGCAGUCAGAGUAUUAUAAUGUCUGCAAUCUUGAUGGUGGUGGUGGUGGAAGAGCCAAAGCCUCUUCUCCUUUUGUCUUCUCCCAGUCUCCCCAUCAAAUUUGUUUUCAAGCCGGAAGAUAAUGAUAAGCCCAUUUUGCUCUAUAAUCAGUCCUGUACUACCCCCAGCCAAUCCAUAAACUCACGGUUUUUAUUUGUCUGUGUGGCGUAUACGCGCGUACGAGAUGAGACUUUUCUAUGCGUUCAGAGUGGAAGCAACUAUUCGAUUUCGACUUGUUUUCGUUGUACAUACCUUUUUUCGUCUUCUCGGAUACAGAAAAUUGUUUCCCAACGUUAAGAGAAAUGGGCCUUCAGCUGCUGGAUAUAUUGUCGAUUUUUAUUUUAUUUUUCUUAACGAGGAACUUCUUUAAUAGCAAGUUGCGCUCUAUGGCGUCUGUGAGGGGAAGCGACCGAUCGGGGAGCUUUCGAACUUGGCGAUCUCGUGCCAUAUAACCGCUGCCGUUUUCCCACGUCUUUGCCUUUCCGUGCCUGAGUUUUUUUUUUUUUUUUUUUUUUUUUUUUUGUAAUAAAUUAAUUACAAAAGUAUUUUUUCCCUACUAAUUCUCAGUUCUCCCGUUGAGGGGAGGGGGGUGGUAAUGGUAAACGGGAAAAACCUUCGUCGAGUCCCCCGAUUUAAUUUAUUUCACAUUUAUUCCUUUUUUUUUUCGAGAAAAAUAAAAAUUGAAGGUGUCGUAAAAUAAAUUGUAACCCGUUUUUUUCCAAGAAAAAAAAAGAGAGAGAAAUAAAUGUAAUCCCCCUUCCUCUAGCCCUGACGUAAUUUCGCAUCCAGGGACGGGCUAGAAAAGUGAGUUACCUUCAAUCACAUUUUUAUAGUUGUUCGAGGCGUUUCUAGAUAUAUUUUACCCCGCUACUCUCGCCUGUCCGUUUGUGUGCGCAUAAUAUACAGCAUGACUAGUCGUUAAAUGCAUCGAAUGUCUUGGGGCUUUCACGCUCACGAGGCGAACUGCCCUCCCCUUCUAUGCAGGGCAGUUUCGGCUUGUAAUAACUGCAGUCGUUCCAGUACAAAGCGAUCAUUAAGAAGAGGAAGGACUGCGAAGGGAAAGAAACAAAAGCAAAUGACAGGGGAACUUUGUCUACUGACCAUAUUGACUAUACAAUGCACAGAAGAAAAAGAAGAGAAAAUGGGGGAGAGAGAGAGAAGAAGAAGGCAUAACAAUUUAUUAAAUUUUCCAACUGGCCAGAAAACCCCGUCAUUAGCGCUACAUCACACGAAAGGGUUCGUCAUCGUUCUCCCUCGCGUCCUUAUUCCUUUGGAUGUUUUUGUUAGAAUGUCGUUGUGACCACAGAAAUUGGAUUGGCCACCAGAGAACAUCAAUCCUUUUCUCCCCGAGAAAUAGGGCCAAGCAGCAACAGAAGAAGGAAAAACAUUACAGUAUUUCUCCUUGGGAGCUGAGGAGAAACAAGCUUCGUUACUCAUUUCCUCUCCCUCGGCCCCUGUCUGCCCGUCUGCCCGAUCCGCACAACUCUCUUCCUCACUCAUUCAAAGAGAGAGGGAACUUUUGGGGUAAUUUACCCCCCACCCCACCCCCCAAAAAAAUAGAUCACUGAAAAGGAACUUCCUUUUCGCCUUAAUAAAACUUUCUGCUGUGCUGUAGAGUCGUCGGCCAUUAUUGUCGAGCCGUGUCUAAGAAGAUAUUACGAAUUGAAGUCCGGUGGACGCGUUGCGUGACAGAGCGGGUUCGUUGCGGGGUUCCCGAAAAGAAUCCAUAGCGGAUACAAUCGAAGCCGGAUCAAAUCGGCCAUCGGCUGAUUUGGUCGUGUUGGCAGGAGAGGGGAAGCCCCCCCGAAGAAAUAAUAAGUGUGAUGGCGUUGGCUGUAUGGAUUACCCAAUUCAUUAACCUUAUCUAUUAGAUGUAGUAGCGCAAGCUCAAGAAUAUAUAUCUAAACGCAUGCAGGGGAUAUAGAGUACACGUCAGAGGGUUUACAAGGGAAAGGAAACAACUUGGCAGACAUGGGCUAAAGUAAGUAAUGAGCUUCGCUACAUAUAGAGACUAAGGAAAACACGGAGACUGAGAGAGAGUGCAAGUUGAUUGACGUUGUGACCAGUUUCUAUGACAUCGCCAAGUGGAGCGACACUAUACAUCAGCACUGUGCACGAUGGAUUUCGCUUCGGUGACCACGCGCGCGCCCCCCGCUCUUCUCUUUUUGGGGGGCUGAUUCAGCGUCAUCGUCGUCUCCCAGGGCUGCUGCUCUCUCCCAAUGCGUCAUGUCACGCGGAGGUGAGAGAGUAGCACAGUAGCAGCAGCAAAGCAGUAAGGAGAGAGUCUAAGGGAAAAGCUGAUGAUGACAGACCCCCGUCCCCGUCCCCCCUUUUCCCCAAGAGCUAUUGUGAAACGUCCAAAGAGAACUCCAGGAAACAUGGUAAUUGCGCUAGACUCCACCUACCAUCAAACCCCCCUUUACGACCGAGUUGCCGUGACAGUAGCUGAAUACAAUCUACGUUAGUUACUGUCAUGUAAUUGGUUCUCAUCUCGAUUUUUUUGUUUUUUGUUUCUUGCGCUGGACAGGAAAAAAAAGGAGAGGAACUAUUGUUUACUGUACUAUAGUUUAAUCUCGACACACGACAACCAGUGGCCCUGAAUAGGGAGAGAAUCACAAUCAGUUGAAGCGAUUUCAACGCUUGUUCUUAUAAUAUUCCUGGAAUCAGAAAUGUUAUUGUUCAAAGUCAAGACAAACACAAAACACAAAAAAAAAAAAUUUCUUUUGCCUGUAGGCGUGGGCGAUGCUCACAAUCGUAGUACCUCGACGUUACGCUCGACUCCAAACGCCGUUGACAUUGAGCUCUAUCAAAAGCUUAUUUUUGUCUUUUUCUUUAUUUUCUUUUUUGAUUCAUAUUUCUUUUAGAUUCUCUUGGCCUUCUCUCCCUUUUUUUCGUAUUAUGUUUUGGGUUCUUUUAUUUUCUAAUAUCCUGGGAAGUGAGAAUCAGAGUGACGACGACGAGUUUCCAGAAGAGAUGAACCGCAGUCACGCCAAUUGCAUAUUGCUUCAGCGUUAAGGCUUUUUCUCAAACUCUUUUAACAUUCGUUGCUGGGCCAUCACGAUGACGUGAUGGAAAAGGUAUUCUUUUUCUUUUGCUUAUAUAUAUUUUAGUUGUUAUUUUGUUUUUCUCUCUUCUUCCCUCCCGACUUUCUUUAACGUUCUCUUUCGUUAAUCCCGCUGGCCUCACGACAUCGCAACGCACUUCCGCCAGACGAGAUUCUUUCUUCUUUUUAUUUUCUUUGGUUUUUUCUUAUUCUUCUUUUUUAGACAUUGUAAAUACAGCAUGAUUUCCUCUCUGUCUGCCUCUUAGACUGUUUCCCUAAUGAAAGGUUUCUCACACCGACAGCGUAGCAGCUCGACUUGCGCGAGAAUUAACUGGCAUUAGCUCUAGGAUGAACGUGAUUUUGCUCCUCUCUCCGUCGGCGUUCUUCCUCCUCCAACUCGCGCGUCCGCGUCCGUUGCCUCCGGCUUUCAGUAGUCUACACGAUCGAUCGGCCUCUCCUCUCGUUCGCUUGAUAUUUAGCCUUCGCCAACAUGUUUUCGAUCAAGAGAGAGAGAGAGAAGGAGAAAGUCGCUCCUCUUUGUAGGUCUUGUUGUAUAUGUGCAUGGGACCGCUUUGCGGGGAGAUCUUUUCUCCCCGUAGUUUGGAUCUCAUCGACUAGUAGCCGAGGAUUGACGUGAUAACAUUCGGGAAACGAAAGAAGAAGGAGGUCGAAAACAAAACCAGACUCGUGAAAAUGUAACCGGGGGUGGUCUGCUGUAUAAAUAGACGACACCGCCUUCUUCUAUUCCCCCCCUCCCCACCGAAUAGAUAAAGCCCGAAUCGAAAGGACCCCACUAGAUCCAGAAAGUCAAUAUAUAUUUGGGUACGUGACGAUACGAUUGAAAGAUCUCCAAAUGAUAUCUGCUAAAAAGGGCAGAGAGAGACGAUGAAAUGUCGGCCGUCGUGUGUGUGUGCUGUGUGUAUCUAUGUUGUAAAACACACACACAUCAUCCCUCUAGACAUUUGCCUCAAAUGCGCUCUGAUGUGUUGUGCCACUCUCGCUUGUAUAUUAUCCCAUCGGGUACAGGCAAAAAUCGAUUGACGUUUAUUACUUUAGCCAACCCGAGUUUUUCAUUUCUUUUUUCUUUUUUGGUCGCUCAUGGCUGUUUUUUUUUCGAUCCUUUUUUUUCCUUUAUUCUGUCCUCGUGUGUGUGUACUGUGUACACGUUUGCCCUAGUACAUCCAUCCGGGGGACCUUACUAUUUCCGAUAAGGGUGAAUAGGAAGGGACCUCCCAAAAAAGAGGAAAAGAUACAUCGGGAGUUUAUUGAAUUUGCCCUUAUUCUGAGCCCGAGGAGCGCAGCAGUCACUAUACUAGCAAUAACUUCAUUGGCGUCUAACUUGACUGGACGGAGUCAUUCAACCGUCUCCCUAUGGAAAAAGGAAUUGGUUAUACGACACCGGAGACGUCCGACACAAAAAUUGGAAAAAGGAAUUCAAUCAUCGCCGGGCGCAAUUCUCCCGUUUUCAAUUCAACAGUCGGGUGAGGAGGAUGAGGCAUGUCAACGCCCAAGUUUGUUUUUUCCCUUCCCCUCCACCUUCCGCCAAUAACAUUCGAUUUAACUUGUAACACACCAACAACCGUCUUUGAAAAAAGAAAAAAAAGGGAAACAAGUUGAUCUUUUUUGUUGUUGAUGUUUUCUAUUUUUGGGUUAUUUUGUCGUUUCAAAUGAUUCAAGUAAUAUUUGAACCAACUAAACGAUUUAAAAUUAUAGUCGAAAAAGGUAGGCGCUUUUCAUUUGAUCGGAACGAGAAAUAAAAUCACUGUCACAUCCCGUUGAACGAAAAAUGUGUACGCGGCGCCAAGGGAAAUGAAAAGGUUCAAUUAUGUGAAUGAUGACAUUUGCUGUCGACUGAAUAAUCACGGACAAGGCGAUUUCCUAGUUCCUCUUUUUUCUCUCUCUCUCUCUUCCCUAUACCACCCCCGCAUCUUGCGGCUCAAUUCUUCCACGGGAGAGAGAAAAUAAAAUUCUUUCACGGUCGUCUUCCAAGGGGGUUGGUUAAGGAGAUAUGCCCGGAAUGAAUCAAACCGUGACGUGUUUUCAAAACUUUAUUGAAAAAUGCCAGGGCGGAUAUGAGCGGAUUGAAUAGGAAAAAAAAGGUAACCGAGUCUACAGCUCGCAGUGUGCUGGGUGCCUGGGCACAUUUCUUCGCGGUUGAUGAUGACACUAUCAAAGAAAGUCUCUUGUUGCUUCCCUCCCCGUACAAAAAAGAAAAAUAUAAUAAACUUAUUUCGUGGCGAAAGAAAAAUACCGAGUUGAGUGACUGAACGUGCAUGUCUAGAGACUGCUGAUGUCAUCCCGAUGACUUGUCUCUGCUGCAUUUGCAAGGAGAUAUCCUCAACCUGUUCACAAAAGCGCAACGACGGGAUUAUCGAUCGAUAAGAAGGGGGGCAAAAAAGAAACCGAUAAAUUAAAAUGAAUAAUUGGAUGGACGAAAAAAAAAACCUUUGACGAGUUAACAGUUUGCUGCGAGGACAAAAUGGGAAAAACCCGGGAUCGCGUGCUAGUGUGUAUACGUCUUAACGCAAGUCCAGCAUAGCGUUGCUGCUGCUGCUGGCCCAGAUGGCCGAUGGUCACGAAAGCUCCGACUCUUUUUUUCGUCUAUUUACUACCCCCAGCUUAUAUAUGAUGUAUUCGUCAAUUAUCGUACACGACGCCGUAGAGAGAAAAAAAAACUUUGCUCAUGGCGACGUAUUGGGCAAUAAUAGUCGAUGAUUCAAAGCUGCUGCUGGUGGACAACUGGACAUAGUCUUGUGAAAUCGUGUGCGCAUAUCACUUGUGUAAGAGAGCUUGGAAAAGAAGAAGAAGAAUGUGUAUAAUAUUCUAUAUAAACUAAACAAUGCAGCCGGUCCCAUUGAAACGCUUUUUUCGUGUGAAAACUCUUUUGUAAAAAAAAAAAAGAAGAAGGUGGGCAAAUAUGGCGGCGGUGCACGCCAACCGGGACGAAGAGUAAUACCAGUGUCCACCGAAAUACAAUGGGCGCUCCUUGAUGGAUAGACCGGCGAUUAUCCUACCGAAUUCGUCCGGUGAAGAACCGUAGAGAGCAUGGGUUACUUGUGUGAAAACACACACCAAGCGAGAGAAAGAGAGAGAGAAAAGACUAUAGCGACGCUAUACACACGAUCGGCGGUUUGACGUAAUUAACCACACGCGUUUGGUUUAGGCAACCCAUUUUGGGGUAUACCACCAAUGUGUAUCGCUUGUGACUAUUGUUGUUGUAGCCUGCCGUUUUUUUCUUUUCCCCCGACCACUAGAAUUAAAGGCGUGCCUACGAUACUUUGCAUAUUUGUUCUUCUUUCUUUUUCAAGCGAAUUCCGAGACAAAAACAAGAGCCACGAAAGUAUCAGGCCUCCCGUAUUUUACGUCCAGCAACAUCGACACGUAACAUAUAACUGGUCUUUUGGGUAGUUGUUGUUGACUGUUGAGAACUAGCUCUUAUCUCUUCCAGGGGGCUUGUUCAAUUGCCUCGGCAAUUACUGGACUCGAGGCCAGUAGCCACGAAAGAAAAAAAAAACGAAAUCCCCCAAAAAAUUACAUAUCUUUUAUAGAUUAGAGAAAAAAAAAAAGAAAAAACAGAGGAGAAGGUAGUGGAUAAAUAAUAACACGUAACGCUCUUCUAUACUCGGUUCUGGUUCAUACAAGCAAGAGAGAAUAAGGGUGUAAAUAUAAAAUAACCUUGAACUCGACCCCCCUUUUUUUUUUUUACUUCUCCCUAUGUAUAUAUCUCAGUCCGGAUGCAAAGAGGAGAAGAAAUACGGCCGCGGGACUUGCGUAAGAACGUAUCUACACAUAUAUAUAUAAUAUAUACAUAGCUACACAAAAGAGUAUAUGUUAACUACUUGGCCUUCCUCCUGCUGGUGUGUGUCCUCCACGUCUGAAAUGUGUAAUUACCGGCCGAAAAAGAAAAGAAAAAAAUACUAGUUUUUCUUUUUUUUUCUUCCUCUUAUUUUAUUAUUGUUAUUUACCCGGAGACUGGGCACGACUGUUAUCAGCUUGCACCAAAUGAGACGGAAGAACGUUUGUGUUGUAACUUUUCCUUCUGAUUGCUCCAUCGUCGUCGUCGUCAUUUUGUUUUCGUGUUUAGGUGUUAUGUUUCUUCUUCACCACGAAAUUUUCUUGAUAGUAAUAGCCUCGUAUAUUUUAAGGAAAGGCGCAAUGGCGCAACUAGGGAAUCUAUUUUAUUUUAUUUUAUUUUUUCAUUUUCCGUGUCUCUCGGAUUGACGGAUUCAUCCGGAAUUCGAAAUGAUAGCGCCUUUACAUUAUAUACCUGAGAGAAAUGGCGACAGCGGUUGUAUUUCAUCGAUAUGUUCGCAAAGAAAAAGGCAAAAGUUUCCCCAUUUUCUUUUGAGCUUGUUUUAUUUGACAUUCGGCUGGGGCAAUUACAUCUUGUUUGACCUGUCAAACCCGGAUGCCACGUCGUCCAACGGCAUGUGACAUGACGGAUGACACGACACUCUUCUUGUUGUGUGUAUGGCAGCAAAUGCCGGGGAGACCACCACCAUUCAAGUUCUAUUUUUAAUCUCAUCUCUUUCAUUUCUUUUUAAAAAAAUAAUAAUAAAAAAAACCCUUCUUAUUAUUUCUUCUUUGGAUCCGUUUUUCUAAAAAGCUUGUUAUUUUUUUUCUCCUCUCCUAAAUUCUUUUGUAGCCUAUUAUUAUUACUUGAAUGGAUCUCUGAGUCAUUCGUUUUCCUCCUCUUUUUUUCUCUUCUUCGUGAAUUCUUCUCCGUUGGAAUUGAUAAAUCGGUUCGAAACGACAUAAAAGGUUUGAUCAAUGAGGAACUGACUUUUCCCCUUUUUUUUCUUCUUCUUCCUCCUCUUCACUGGCAAAGGACGUCCGAAAAAAGGGGGAGGGAUAGUAAAAAAAAAAAAAGGAGGGGGGUUAGCAGCUCUCAGAUAUUGAUUCGAUUGUGAUGAUUUCUGACUGACGACCGGCGGGAUUCACCCGAGCGCGAACGAGCAGUAAAUCUUUGUCGACGAAACCGAGCAACCUCCUUCUCCUCCUCCUUCCCUUCCCUUGAUCUUUUGUCGCCAUUGUGUGUGUGUGUGUGUUACGUUCGUGUAUCUCUGAGCUGUGUGUGUGUGUUAGACUGCGUCGUGCAGCAGCCAGUGCCAGCCGGACGGAAAGAACGGGGAGAAAAAAAGAAAAAGAGUCGGGAGAUGUUAUAAGAGGCAACGGGGCCCUGCGCUCGGCUUAAAUGCAUUUAUCACUCGAUUUGUCGGGAGCCAAUGUUGUCGGGAGCAAACACACACACACACACACACACUAUAUCGCAUUGUCUGCGCCCGCUCUAUUGUCGCUGCGUUUAUGCGUGUGAGAGAGUUGGGGGGCCGCCACCGCCGUUAUACGGAACUAAUAGUCGGGAUCAAAGGGAAUUUAGUUUGAAGGAGGGUUAGAGUUGUAAAGGGAGAGGUGGUGAAUAUUACAUGCAAAAAGGAAAUAAUGGUGGCGGUGGUGGGGACGAGCGGAAGAAGAGAAUGGAGGUACUAUGGCAACAUUGAUUCAUUUUUUUAUCCCCCCCCCUUCUAUGUGUGUGUGUGUGUGUCAUGAAAUUGAAGGGGGGAGGUGGCCCGAUCGUCGCCAGAACACUGAUGGAAGAGCCGGAAGCGGCGAAAGAAAAGGAAGGGGGGGAUAGGAUAGUUCGUUGGGUGUGAAAAAUGAUAUAAAAAUUGCGCAGGAGGGAAUAGGCGACGGGGGAAGUUUGCUCGGCAGCGAUCGGGGAAGAAAAAAAAGGAAGACACGGGGGCAAACGAUGAUGAUGGAAGAAGAACGACGUUGUGUGUGUGUUACGUCAAAGGCAGAGAGAAAAUAAAAGUGAGGGAUGCGAGAGAGCGAGCGGCCGGGGCAUCCAUUGUCGGCGAUGUGGCAAAAAUGAGAUUAAAUCCGGGACGAUGACAGAUAGUUUUGAAUUGGAAUGAACGAGUUGAGCGAGUCCUUGUGUUGGGGCGAAUAAGACGCAACUUGUAGUAUAUGUACAUAUCUUGCUCGCACCGCGCUCUCAAGUUUUACUUCCGCGUGUGUGUGUGGCAACUGCUCGCGGACGGACAUCACAGUCUCUAACGAUCAAAGCAAACCGCCGCAGCACGUGAGGGGAGAGGGGGGGGGGGGGGGGGGGUAGCAUCAGCAGUCGAGCAGAUGUCUAUAAUAAGUUGAGAGUGAUUCCGCGCGCUAGAUGAGAGAGCUGCUUCAGAAUAUUUGGAGUCUCGUCGGUUAGACUAUACGCGCGUGUAUGUCCCUCGGAGCUAUCGUUUCGGGAUUGCUAGAUGAACCGGCAGCGAGAGCGCACCACAACCACACAAGAAAGAGACAGUGUAUAAUAGUGGAAAAGCGAGAUGAUGAUGAUGGUGAUGAUGAUGAAGGAAAAAGACCAUUUACAGUUGAAUGGAGGCUCAAAGCGAAAAGAGUCUAUAGAGAGGGGAGAGACCUUGUGCAUCUCAUCAUUUUCGGCUGGAGAUCCCUCGUCAGCGAGCUAAAUCGUCUCAUUACCGGUCCCAUUCAGACUGUCGCAGUCCAAUAAGAUAAAAGAAUGGAAUCAAAAAGCGAGGAGAAAGAAGGAGCCAAUCGCUUUUUGGGCGGAUAUUUUCCGUUAGCAAACAAUCUAUGGCCUCCUCUCCAUUCGUUAUAAAUGUGACACACACACACACACACAUCAAUUCGAUUUUACAGUUUCUUAUAUUUUAUUCUUUUCUUUUUUCUUUUUCUCUUUUCUUUUGCCUUUUUGAAAUAUUUUCAAGAGACGGACAGAAAUAGAUGCGAUGAGAAACUCAUCGCCGAGAGAUCAAAAGGAGAUUGGCACAGGAAACUAUUAUUACAUUCCCUCGACAUUUUUGUUGCCUUCUUUCAACUACAUCCAGACCCACUAUUCCGAUUGUUAUUAUCUCUGUUCCCUCUUCUUUUUCUUUUUUUUUUUCUUCUUCAGCACUUAUAAUUUUAUAUUAUCGUCUCUCUCUCUCUUUCUUUAGCGCCCAGGUAUAUAUACAACGUUCAGUAGGUUCAGAGCUUUUUUAAGCGAUCGUCAAGUGUUAUAUUCUCAUUCUCUAUACAUAUAUAUUUCUCUCUCUCUCUCUCCCCUCCGCGUCCAAAUAAAUGGCCGGCGGUCUUUUCCCAUAACCUUUUGGCCACGAAAUCCUCAACUAUAUUCUUUUUAUAUUUUCAAAAGAGAAAAGAAGACGAAGAAGAAGAAUAAUGAUUUCCGACAGGCCCGUGUUGUAUGUGCCAGCGGUUCAUUACCUUACACACACACACACACACACUCACACGUAUACAUAGUAUAGAAUCUAAGAGAAUCUAAAUACCCAGCCGAAACUUUGCCCUUACAGAGUCGAGCCUUAAUUGGAUGUCGCCAGUGUUAUUCCGCAGGUUGGUGGUCACGUCACCUCUCUCUCUCUCUGUAUACACACACUCGACCUGGGCGGUGGUUGGCUCACCGUCGACCACCACAGGUAGUAUAGAAACUCACAAGAUCGUGGUCUCUCUGCGCCCAAGAAUUUAAUAAUCAUAAGAGCGAAUGCAUUGCUUUGGCUUGUACACAUGUACAUAUGUAUAUAUACGUACGCUUUUGGACAUGUAUAUUGCCUAUAGAGUGUUGCGCUGUUGGACUGUUUGGGUGGCGGCGCCUAUCCCUGUGGUCGGUCGGGGGCUGCCCGUCUCUUGUAUCACAAGGUCAGGGAGAUAUACAAGAAGAAGAAGUUCCUUUUUUUUUUUUUUUGUUUUGUUCUUGUUGUUGGUUGUUUGGCCUCCUGGCUGAGACCCUUCUCCUGGCAGACAAGGAAAUGAUGCAGUUGAUAGUCAAACCACAGAAAUAACCCACAACUCUCGGCCGUCCCUCUCUUUCUUUGCUUGAUAUUCUCUCUAGCUCCCCAUUUGGGUGACCACCGAACAACAGCACACAAAUAUACACAAAAAAAGCAUUUCUCCAGCAUAGUUCCUCUCGUCAGACCCAUACACGAUGAAAGAGAUAGAAGCUUUGGAGGGGGGUAGCAGUGGGAGCAGCACAUACUGUGAGAGCCUGAAAUGCAAAGAAAGUAUAGGGGGAAAAGCAACAAACCCAAAAAAAUCCAGAAAAAAACAACAACAACAGCUAUAUUUUAUUCCCAGUUUGUUUAGCAAUUAUGAUGGAACUGUGCCGCUACUGCUAUCAUCUAAUACUUCCUGCUAACCAGUGGAAGGCGGAGUGAUUUCGGAGGGGGGUGAAAGAUUUCCAGAGCAGCUAUAUAGCCUUGUUGGAAAUUAGAAUAACGGAUUGAUAUGUAUAUGCCUGCCGUCCGUCCGUCCGUCCCGGUCCGUCCCUCCUUCAUUCUUUUCAUAUUUUCUUACUCCUCCCUAUACUCGCCCUCUUUUCUGUUUUGCCUUGAUCCUCCAUUCCACCCCGCCGAUGACAACGAUGGAUGGCAUCAAAAAGUUGGAGGCUCCGAGAAAAAUCGUGACUGAUUUGUGGGGCCCUGAAUGAGAUGCUAAGUCGAUCGUUUAUAAAGCCCCCUCUCUCUCGCUCUCGCUCUUCCUGAGCUCUUCUUGGUCCCUCGGCUCUUGUGAGGGACCUGGAGGGGUCGGAUGAUGGAACCCAUUCACGUGGGUAUUGCUAUGCAAUGCAUUUGCUCUCUCUAUGGGAGAAAGAGAAAGAGAGAGAGAGAGAGAGUCCCAGAGUUCAGUCGGUUAUAUAUAUAUAUCCAGUAGGGAGGAACGAAAUUAAAUGCCGGCUGUCACUGCCAGCGUGAACACGCCGCUCCGGGAAAUCGUGCCGUUGUUUGGGCUGCUCGGCAAACGGGGCGGCGUGUCUAUGUGUAUAAGGAGAGAUAGUGCAAGGACAAAUGAACAUUUUUUCUCUCUCUCUCUCUCUCUCUCUCUUUUUUCCCGAUUUUUGUUUUCCAAAUGUAUUAUAAUCGUAGAAAAUAUAUAAAAGAUUUAUAGGGAAUAAGAAAGACAGUGUAUAUUAUAUCUAUACGUAGGAGGGAACAAACUCGAUGGGGGAGGGGGAGGACAACAAAAAAAGGGAACGCCGGAGAUGACGCAAAAGAAUGGUCCGAAAAGAUUGAAACGAUAUCAAGGCAGGCGGACACGAAGAGCAGCAGCAGCGAGGGCUUUGAACAAAUGGCGUUUUUCCCAGAAAAAUGGGGGCGAAAAUGUAAAAGAGAAGAAGAAGAAGAAGAAAAAGCGCAGGGGAUACACAUAGAAACCAAAAGGGGGGAAAAAGUGGGAGCAUUGGUAAAGAAAUGAAGCUUCCUCUUUUUUUUCUUCUUUAUUUCUUUUUUGUGUGUGAUUGAGAAGAUUAUAAGAAAACGACGUCGAGCGUCGUUCUUUUCUUCUUCGCCAUUGGACGUGCAUCAUGCAGGAUCAACGCGGGCCACAAGUUUCCGGCGACAGGGCCCAACGAAAUCGAGUGAACGAACGAAAUAAAAGAAAAAGGAAAAAUAAAAAAACGACGAUAAUGUGAGUGUGGCACAGAUGUUGCGUCAUAAGCGAUUGUGGGCGCCCUAUUAGAAAACGUUGAGAAAGUGCAGUCAGGUGGACGCAUCGGGGAACGAGGGAACCUUGUUACGUUACUUCCCCCAUAGGCAUCGCUUACCUCAUAUCCUAUACACACCAUCGACAGAACACAAGCACACACACACACACAACCCCGAAACGUUAUAUCGUCUGUACUGGAGCAACCAAAGUAUAUUGGCUGGUAAUGAGGAGAUAUAUAUCAGCCACCGCAAAAGCCACGAUAUAGUGAGAGUUAGAGGAGGGAUAUGAACAGAAAGAAAAAAUAGAACUGGAAUACAUAUUUACCAAAGAGGGGAAAAAAACCAACAACAAAACAUCAAGGGCAGGCGACGGGCAGACGGCAUAUUUGUCCAUGUUCGGAACCUAAUCCCGUUGCCCCCACGUUUUGUUGGGUUGAACGAAUGCGCGCACAUACACACAUAUACAUAGAUAUGUGCAUGUGUACCAUCAGGUCUGUGGGGGACUUCAUGUUUCCCUCAUGUAAAGGAUGACAAGCGCCCAGGAUGAGAAGGAAGACCACCCUAAUAUCAGAUUAUAUUCCAAUUUUUUCUUUCUUUUUUUCUGUUCGUCUCUUUUUCUCUCUUGUGUUUUUUCAGGGGAGUUUGGUUGGAAGAAGAAAAAAAGAUGGGGGGGUUUUGCCUUUUCCGAAAGCGGAGCUCUUGUGAUCUAUACGGUGGUAGGAGGAGCGCUCCUUCUCGAUUUCUUUCCUUGGAACGAAGGACGGACCGAUCGAGCUCUCUGCUCUCUCUCUCACACACUUGUAGGGCUGCGAGCGAAGCGAGUGCCUCUGAUUGCUGCUGCCAUCUGGAUUGGACAUUUGAUUCAUUUCACAGGAAUCUCACUCGGGUCUAUCGUAUUUUUCUGGGGAAAACUUUGGUAUCCUGCAAGACUUUGAUGGCCGUUUCUAUUCCAAAUGACAGCUCUCCUAUAGACUUGUCGGCGGAAAGUUACCCAACUGCGACUGAAAAUUGCCUUUUUUUCUUUUCGAAUUUCCCCGUCUUCUAUAGUGGCUGACAAUUAAAUGGGAAAAUUCUUCGAAACUUUUCAAGUAUUCCCAUUUUGGUUGUUUUUUCUAGGUUAGAAGAUUCCAUUAUCUGAUAAGCCUUUUGACAUGGUCGUCAUCGUCGCUGAAUUCGAGAUACUAUGAAAAACGUACGAAAUGUGUCAGCAGUUGUCCUCGUUUCCAAUUCCGCCCCGCUCUUAUUAUUAUGCGUUCCCCUCUAAUGGUUUUAGAUUGCGAUUAAAUAGACUUUUCUCUCUCUCUUCUACUGGCUGGCAAUAGUCUAAUACAGUUGUGACGACGAUGGUAAUGGCUGAUGCGUGUUUAUCGCUCAUUGACUGAUUCAUCAGUCCAACAUUUCCGACCGUUAUUUUUGAGGAAAUGUGUCCCGAAAGCAAACAUUGUCAGCCGUAUUUAUAACGCAAUAGUUUCUUUCACUCUUUAUAACUGGCGCGCGGAGCUACUAGAGCGUAAAAGGAGUGGGGGCCCGUCGACGACAAAGAGUGAUUGAAGUGCAUCGGCGAAUCGAUUUUCUUUACACAUUUUUCUUCUUUUUUUUCUGUCUCGGCUCGAAUGACUUUCGGAUUGUUCUGAUUAUAACGAGACUUUGUUUUUCCCCUUCUCUCUUUUUUUAUUUUAUUUUUAUUUGUCGAGUGCCGAGCCAAUCCGGAGAGCUGAGGCAAUACCAGAUCGUAAUGGUUGAUGCGUGUUUAUUGCUCAUUGACUGCUGCUGAUCAGCUCAAACCGAGAGUCAACCGAGCGUUAUUUCUCCCGAACGAUGGCGGAAACGGCCCGGCUGACGAUGGGAAAUAGUUCGACGCCAAACGAAAAAAACAAAACAAAAAACAUUGUCCGCGCUACGGAUAAUAUUCCGACUGAAAAUUCGAGCUCCUGUGCAGAGUGCCACAUUUCGUGACGGAGAAUGAUUCGAUUUAUAUGCGAUAACAGCCGCGCAACAGCCAUCAUAGAUCAACCGGGGAAAAAAAACUCCCGGCGUACAAUAUAGUUGUUGAAGGGAAAAUAACCGGGUGAUGAUCAUUAUUGUAUCGGUAGUUUAUAGUUUUUUUGUUUGUUUUUUUCUUUUCUUUAUUUUCUUUUCUUUUGCAAGGGAACGACGACGUGACUUUGAAACGUACCGUGGUCUGUCGUAAAUGAACAUGCGGUUUGUACUCUUCUUCUUCUUCUUUCUUUUUCUUUUCUCUUUCCAACAUUGUUGCACACACACGACCGAUAAUUGAAGGCCACCAAUCUUUUAUCACGCGUGAUGUGAAAGGUGGUCAAUUGUAAUCGUGUUAUUUGUGAGCAGUUGCCUCGGGACAUGCUUCCCUCUCUUCACGCCCGAGAUAUAUGGCCAUUCCAGGGGCACCCACACAUGCAGCGCAAUCAUCAAGUUUGUAUGUGUGUGUGUGUGUAUAGGUAAUAAGCCAAGCUUCAGUUAGAAGAAGCAAAACACAUUUUUUUUCCGAGAGAGAGUGAUUAACUGAGUUUUGUGUACUUAAAAGUUGCCGGAUGAGAAUGCGUGAAAGUCGGAAAGUCGCCCGAUUUUUAUAGACUCACAAAAGCGGGGGUGGAAUUUUAGGACAAAAUAAAAAAACAAAAUACAAAAAAACGGGUGCGUGUUUCUAUCGCAUUGAUCAAACACAGCGCUGCUGACCGCGGCUCUACCACCUAAUUUCCGUCCAAUAAAUGUCGGCCACCCGAAAACAUUGUCAGCCGGCGUUUACAUUAUACAAUAUUUUUAUGUAUUCGUACCCGAGAAAACUGCUCCUAAAUAUGGCUGUGUUGUUGUGUGUACAUCUGCGCAACGGCGAAUCAGUUCUGAUGUCGUACUGCACGCUAGUUACAGUUCAGAUCUAUAUACUAUCCGGUUUGAAUUUCAAGUCGGUCAUCUGGAAUGAAUUUCCACGAGCAGAUGAGAUGAGUCAAUUUCUGUACACCAUCUCCUGGGUUGGAGGGUUGGGGGGAGUAGAUGAGAAUUUAUGUUGAACGUGUACUCUGUAACCUCCAUUUUCUUGGCUUUUUCAUCUUCUUGCCAUUGCAACUCGGGUGUAUAUUCACAGGACCGAAAAAGCAGUUUGAGAGUCCAGCGAGCGCAAUGUGGUGGGCGCACAUGUUUCUGGCUAUCGUGACGGAUACAAAUGCACAUGUCUUGCUCCGCUUCGUCUUCUCUUUUCUAUUCCGUUAUUAUAGUAUACGUCGUCCUCCCUCGUCUCUUCUCUUCCACCCUCCGGAUUACACGCGGUCCUGACUUUGAAUCGGUUCUUCUUUCGGUUAGCUUUUUCUUUCUUUCGGCUGACCAUGAAAUCGGAAACUCUCUCUGCUGGCCAUCUUUUCCUAUAAAAGCUGCGAGUCUUUCAUCGUUGGCAAUUCCUCCGUCACACAACGGGCCGACGGGAGAGAAAAAAAAAGGUUAUAUUAUGCCGAGUAAGGUUGCGCAGUAGAUACUAUAGAAAUGAAAAGAAACAGACAUCAAAUGUAUUCUCCUCUCAUCUAAUCAUAAUUGAUUACGUGCGCGCUUUCAAUGUGCGCCAUAGGUUGGAUGAGGUGUGUUUGUAUGAGCAAAAAAAAAAACUUUUUCGGGUUGUUUAUCUGAUGUCAGUUAAAUAUUCUAUCAUGCGCGCGCUGUACACACACAGACAAGAAGAGAUUGCGUGUUCGCUGUGAAUACGAUCGAGGCAAAAAAUAUAAAGGAGAAAAAUAUUAUACUACAACAACAAAAAAAGAGAGUACACAUACCGGAUCCAAUUUUUUUCUUUCUUUUUUUAGAGUAACCAUCUGCCGCACGUAGACAUUUGAUGAUGAGAGGAGAAAGACGAGUGAAAAGAGGAGGGCGUGUUCCGAGAGUCCCUGCUACCUCUAUAUAACAGUUCGGCUAGUAAAUAUAUAGCGUAUAUAAGCUAUUGCUCUCAACAUUAUUCCAACCCAACAGGGAAUUUUUUUUUUCCUUCCCAUUAUGAUGAUGAUUUUCUAAUAUUUUUAUUAGAUCGUUUCUCCGUCCUAUAUGUCUGGCGCAGCCGUUUUUGUGAAUUAAAUGUAACUUUUUUUUAAUGCACAAAAAAAUGAACCGUAAAGACCGGAAGCUUUUGUAUACGGAAUUUCGAUGAGUGUUAUUUUCUAAAAAAAAAAGUAUUGAGAGAAAAAAUAAUAAGGCGAUGACGAGUGAGAGCACCGGCAGACAAAAAAGAAACUCCCUGCUUGGAAUUAAAAAAAAAUUUUGAACAUUAAACAAGUUAAUGGGGAGAGAAACGGCCAGCGGAGAGGUGUUGCACACAGAAGGGACGAUGCGUGAAGAUAGGCGUCCCGAUUUCCGUCCAACAUCAAAAUGCAAUAAAGCCUUUACCCCCCUUCGUACUACAUCAUUCGUUCCCUAUGGACGUCUCUCCUUUCCUUUUUUUUAUUUGAGUUGUAUUUUUUUUCACUUUUUUUAAUAUCAAUUUUUUUUUUCUUUCAAUUUUGGUAUGGCUUCCUCAAGCUGAGAUCGUGUGGAUUACACCCGUCAGAAGUUCAACGGGUACGCGUUGUAUAUCAUUUAAUAUUUUUAAAAAAUAUAGAGCGAAUAAAUAUAUAAUAAGGCGGUUAGACUUGCGAGAUUCCCGUGUAAACCGACUUGUCUCUCUGUCUGUGUAAUCAUUUUUCGUUUUUUUUUUUUUUUUUUUUUCUUGUUUUUUGUUUCGUUUGCUUGUUGGUUUAUCCAAUUAUUAUUUAUCGACUCGAGUGGCUUUCGGAAUGGGCUAAUGAUUGGAGGGCGGUCAAUGAGAACAGAGAACAAUUGACAACCGCAGACCGACGAAGAGAGAGAGACAAGGACAUAAGGAUAUAGAAGAUAAAGCUGAGAAGGACAACUUUUUUUCUUUCACCGCAUUUGAACGACUUCCCGACAUGACAGAAAUAGAAUCGCAUAAUGGUUGCUGGCGGUGUACCGUUGUAGUACACCUGCUACCCUUUGAUUUGUCCAAGGAUUUGUCACAGAGGAUUCACAACAUCAAAGGAGAAGGAAAAGAAAAUACAAGAAGAAGAAGAAAAAAAACGAGGAAACGACUGUGACGGAGAAACCCGUCUUUUGUCCGAUCUGCACUUAAACAUUUUAUAUCGUACAUUUUUUUUUUAUCCAAUAGCGUUUUAAGUCGUGUUGAACGAAUCAAAUAGAGUGUACACGUGUGGAAAUAGAGUCGUCAGGUUUUUUUGGGGGGGAAUUUGUCUUUUCGGGUCAUUUCAAUAGUUAGAGAAAUCAAUUCGCAUUACGAAUAUCGUGAUACUGUUUUUUUUUUGGCAAGCGGAACGGCAGAAAUGCGGGCUAGAGUUUUCGUGCUUGAAGGUUGUUGCUAGCCCGUUCGAGAUUCGAUCAAACAUGUUAAAAACGCAAAAUUUGGCACGUGUUUAAGGUUAAUUUCAACAUUUGUUUGGGGGAUUUCCACAUUCGCACACGGACAAACACAAUCUAACUCCCAUUAUUCAUCUAAAUAACCUUCAGAUUGAAAAGGAAGGAAAAAGAGAGGAAGAAAAAGUAAGCAAUUCCUCGUCAUCUUUUAUUUUAUUAUUAUUUUUUUUUUUUUCUUGUUGAAUUCUUUCUGGAAGACGCUGAUUCAUUCGAGGCGGGCGGCCGCUCGUUUUUCUCGACGCUACACAAACCAUGUGUUUGAUUUUUAACGAAAAUUGAAGGACGAGAAGGGUUUUUCUCGUUUUUUUUUUCUGGGAGGAAAUAUAAUGGCGCCACUCUACCGUGACCAAUAACCCGUCAAGGCAAAAGAACCGUCAAUUAAACAGGAAAAUGCCUUGUUGUUUUGUGGGAGUUUUUUUUCUUCCCUUUUUUUGUUAUUAUUAUUUCUUUAUAUUCCUUGUUUUUCUUUUGUGUGUGUAUUGCAUUUUUAGUGGCUUGUUUUGUGAUGCUCGUUCGUGGCGAAAUGUUUCCAGGUCCUUUUUUUGUUGUUGAUUCCUUGAAGGAAAAAAGGAAAGAAAAAAAACGACUAAACAAAGUUUCGAAAUAAUAUUUUUUACUUUUUUUUUCAAAUAAUUUCUCUAAAGAAUAUAAUAAUCUUGUGAAAUUGCUGAGAACGGUCGUCAUCCUCUUUCAUGCCGGGAUCGUUUGAUUUUUUUCUUCUCCUUCUAGUAAACACAAAAGUCGUCGGAAACGUGGCAAAUAAAACUCGUCGGGAGGAUAGAGGGAGUCAAAAAUCACGAUCGAUGAAAAAUAUGCUACAAGCGAACGCGCAGCGGGUCAAAAAGAAAUCACGAACGACGAGUGUAACGAUAUAUAUAGCGUACAUAAUAUUCCGUAUGAUAUCCUUCUCUAUAAAAAUCGAUCUCUUUUUCUUUUCUUGCCUUGACUAACAAGAAGCUUCUCGGUAUAUUGUGAGGGGAAAAAAAGCUUCACGUCUGUUUAUGCACGGAGUGAUGACCUCCUUCGCUCCUUUUGUCGAUUCCAUCGGUUAUGCAUUUCGCGUAUUUUUUUUUUGUGCGUUGUUUGUUUGCCCUUGCUAUAUGCGCAUGUGACACUAUCGCAUCAACAGGGUCGCCCAGUCAGUCAUCGGAAUUGGUUAGAUUUCUUUUUUUUUAUUAUUAUUUCUUGUUUUGUUUUUUUUUAUUUGUUGACGGUGCCGGGGAUAGAAAAAUAAAAAAAAAUAGCAAUUCUUUUUGACAGAACUUUUCUUUGAUUCCCUCAUGUCCAUAUGUGAUAUCUUAAUGUCCUGGAGCGGCUCGAUCUUUGGAACGUGAGAGCCUUUUCCCGACGUCAGUUUCGGUCUAUUUGUUCGCCCGAUGAGAAGAGACUGGCAUUUUGGCAAUGUAAACGCUUCUACGUUGUUCUAUGAGCUUCGACUUGAUUAUCGGGCAAGACCAUGUACGUGUUUGGCUCAUUUUGCAUCUCUGCUUUCGGUCGUUGUGAAUUUUGAUCAAAAGUUAAUUAUUAUUCAAGGCUAAUGGGAAAUUGUUUUUAUCAAGGCCCCAUUCCCUCCUACUUCUUAUUUUUCCGGAAUAUACACGUCCAUUAUAUGUGUGUGUGUGUGUGUGUGUGCGUACUCUUCUUGCGGUGCUGCGAGGCAAGCCACAAAAUGUCUGUUUCACUGAUGGUAUAAACUCGUUUCGGAGCGCCUCCUUGUGUUUAGAUUCUUCUGCGGUACCUCCAGUCCCCCACCCAUUUUUCUAUCGUCUUCUUCUUCUUCAAUUUCUUACAAUUUCUUCCCUUUUUUUUACCUCCCCAUUCUUUUAUUAAGAUUACCUAAUUACCCUCAUCUCUUCGGCUUUUUUGUGAUUCCCUCCCUCUCAUUGUCCUGUUGUGCUAAGACCUCCUCUCCUUUCCCAUAGUCUUACAAUUUAUAUGCGCACGGUAUAACUUCUCGGCUGGGGUCUCUCAUAUUCUCCUAUUCUCCGCCGUGCACAAGACCCCAUAAAAAUCAAAACCUCUCCAGGAGAGAAAAAAAAAAAAUACUCGUCUUCUUUUUGGUUUCCACCCCAGUGCUGUCUUUCCUGCCCAUCUCUUCCAUUCUUCCAUCUCUACAUGGAGGCCGAAUUCGUGUUACCGUGUCAAAAAUAAAUGUCGAGGUAAACUGGUCGUUCGGAUUAUAUUCAGAGGAAGAUCACAACGGCAGCAGGUGAUGCAAUGUGGGUAGUAGCCUGUAAUUCCCCCCCAUCGGCCGCCGCACACCUUUGUGACUUUUUGCGAGCGCUAUUUGAACGGGAUAAGAGAUAUACUAUACCGCCCUGAUUUGUAUUAUACAUUCGGAUUCUUUUGGCGUUUCACACUAACAACGACGCAUCAAACUGAUGGUGGCCCCGUGGAGUUUUUCUGCCAAAAAGCUCGAGACCCACUUGGGCGCUGUCCCAAUCGAUCUAUUCCUUAUUCUUUUCUUGUACAUUUCCAACUGGGGUCGUUUGCAAAAGGUAAGAAAAGCCAGCAGCAGCAGCAGCAACAGCCAAAUGGAAAUAACUGGACAAAAAGGCGGCGCUGGCAUGAAGUGAAAUCUAAAAAAGCGCUAUACACAUCUCGGAAAAUGUUUAUGUAUAGUUGUAUGCCCAUACAUCAAAUAGGAGAGCUAUAGCUGCGUAUAUAAAUACAAGACGUAUAUAUAUACAGAGAAAAAAAAGAGACUUGUGUCCAUCCCCGCUGUGGGGAUGGAUUUUUAUGGCGCUAGCGGAGCCCAAAGACUUGUCACUUAGCCCAAAGAGUAAUUCUUCUUCUAUCUUACCAGCGCUCUCUGCUCCUGCCCGCUUCUCUACCUUUUUUUUCUUCUUUUCCUUAUGGCCCGGCCUCUCUCUCCGUUUUUUUUUUUUAGCUGGCCCGUGUUACGUUUGUUUGACACCUCCAAACUUUUUCCACCUUUUUUUUCCUUUUUUGCAAAACGAUUGUGAGAGAGAGAGCCGCAUCUUUUCGAUGGAAAAAAAAAGAAAUCCAACCCCCCCAAAAGAAAAACAACACGUGGGGCAGCAGGAACAGAAAUUGCUUUGGAACCUUUAAGACCUUUCUCUUUUUUUUUUCCUUUUUUCCUUUUUCCAAAUUUAUUAUUCCCCAAAGAAAAUCUCCCGUCUUCUUGUAUUUUUCCUUCCAAGGUAUAGAAAUGUCGUGUUGUUGUGGUAGAAGAGCAUUUUGAAAAGCUAUACACAACAAUUGGGAAGAAUCGCUAUACCAUUUCGCCCUUGGUGGCUAUGUGUGUUUUGUUAUAUGUGUUAUGUUCACGUUGCACAGUCCAGGCGACUGGCCGAAGAAAAGAAGCGGAAAUGAUAUGAAACUAAACUAAAUCAAUUCGAAAUAUAAUAUCGUCUGAGGGGGAAAAAAAGAUUCGGAAUUUUUUUUUUCAAAUGGGAAUGAUAUACCAAACAAAUUCUCGGCAUACGCGUUGUGCACUGGCCCGUGUUUAGCCCCAGUCAAGCCCAACCGAGCCGGUUUCGUCACACUUAAGAAAGGAAGAAUUUCGGUGCUGGGUUCAUCGGCGUAACAGUCGACGGGGUCUUGUGCCAUGCAUCAUUCUGCCACGGUCCUUUGAGCAUCUUCAUCACAAUUCUAUUUACACGAUUUAAAUUUUACCCCAUCUUCUAUCUUUCUAUUUACCCCAUCUUCUUUUUUUCGUCCCCGGAAAAGGGAAAAAAAAACCUGCUGGAUCUUGUGUGUCUUUUAUAUUGUCGCUGAACUGAGCCUAUGCCUUUAACGAAAAAUAAUUUUUUUUUCUCUGCUUCAUUCGUGAGCCGAGGCUACGGUCGGAUGGGUGAUUUUUUCUUCUUCCUUGUUUUUUUUUUUUUUUUUCGUUUUAUUUUACAAUCCGCCCCCAUAUAGUCGCCACGGCUGAAUGCUGUCGGCACAGUAUCAUAAUACCCUUCUAUAUUUACCGUAUCCAGCCUAUAUGUCUGUCUUGUUUUUCUCCCCUUUUCGAUAUACACUCGAACGCAUCUAAUAUGUUCUUGUGUAUUACAUAUGCGCCAUACCCUUUAGCCCCGCUCGUUUCAUCCUAUUCUGGACCAAAAGCAGCAGCAGCAGCAGCACAAGAGAGAGAGAAAAAAAAAGUUUCGAAUUCCCUUCUCUCUUCCGCACACAGCGGUCUAGUGUAUUGCAUUACUAAUGAAUUGGAUCAACCAGAUGGCGCUUUGUUAUAUAGAAUAGAGGCAUAUUAAAUUUACCAAGAACCGCUUCUUUUUCUCCUUCCUCUUCGCUCGGUUCCAUCUCCUAACAACACCCCAUCCGCCCAGCAUUCAUUUAACGCAUUAGACAUCUACAGCGUGUGUUUUUUAUUCUUUCUUUUUUCUUCUUUUUCAAGAGUGAGCUGGUGGCGGUGGUUUACUGUAAUGAAUGCUAGACUCGCACUGUUUAGUCAUUCUAACGCUCCGGAUUGUUUCCAUGCAGGCACCUUGUAACAAAUAACAAAUGAAAUUAAAAAUAGAAAUUGAAGGAAAAAACCCCUGAACGAAAAAACAAAAAAUCGAAUGGGGCCGACUCUACAACAUGCACAUUGUUUUCCAUACGUAAUGACUUCGGUGCGCGAGAGAGACUCACGUCGGUAGGAGUGAGAGAAUAUAACAUUCGUGAAUAUUACAUGUAUGCAUAUAUAUAUAUACAGGCGAGAGCCGGCCGCUGCUGGUGUGUGUGUGUGGGUUGCAAAAGUGGUAUGUGUGUGUGUAUAAUGUAGCGUAUUCAUUAUGAUGAUUAUUUGCUUUUGUCUUUCACUUGACACGAAACUCUGACGGCGGCAUUUUUAUUUUUCUGUUUUUUUGUUUUUUUUCAUCCACUGAAUUUGUGUGUGUGAGCGAUGCAGGAACUGGACGUGAGUCGACGUGCGCCAUAUAUCGCGGCGCAACAGACGCUCCGGCGUCGAGAGUUGUCUAAACAUCAUCCGCACACCACUAACAAAAAAAUAAAUAAAUCUAAAUAAAAGGGGAGAAAAAAAAGUGUAUCUAAUAAAGUGACACGUUCUCUUGAUUUUUGUUUUCAAAACUUUUGACGUAUUUUUUUUUCUUGAAACGAAAAUAAUUGAUAUGGGAUUGAUUUGCAUCCGUUUUUUUGUGCGCGGCGUAUAGGGGACGUCGAGGUGAGGCGCGUCGUGCGGGACCGUAGAGAAUUUAAUGCCCCGUACACGCUAAUUGCGACCGUUGUUUCUAAUGUAUAUUUUAUGAGUGACAUCCUCACAGAGCUACAGCAGUCACUUUGAGUUCUUAUUCCUCAUGUCCCCCAUCAUUCUGCCUUUUUUAUUCAUACGAUCACGGCAUUUAUUUUUUUCUUUUUUAAAUGCUGCUGUGGCCGUAAUCAUAACCAUCAGGUCUCUACCACCACUACGUGUGUGUCUUUUUUUUUCCUCUCUCUUUCUCGGCUACGGGCUAUAAUAAACAACGGGGGAAAAAAUGAAAAACCAUUUUCGUUUUUAUCAAAUAAGGGAGAAGAGAAUUUACCGUACAGUAUGUUACUAGAUGUGCCCUUUGAAUGAUACAACAACACUUAAUACAUUUCUUUUGCCUCCUCGGGUAAGUGCAAUCGGACAUAAAUGCAAUAAAGUGUUCCCCUAUGUGUGAGAGGCGUCAUUUUCCCUCGACUAACCCUCCUUCCUGCUGGCCAUAUUGGAACUGGUAGCCUCACUGCCUCAUCUCUCUUAUCUUUCCGUAUGUACCCAUUUGAAAAUGCUGUUUUUUUUAAGUCUUUUAUUUUUUGGGGGAAAAGAAUGUAUCGAAUUAUAAGGUUCGAAGCCGGAUGAUGACUUUCGCCGCUUAAUGAACGACAUGGCCGAGGGUUGUGUGGAACAGAUUUUUGGUUUUUUAAAAAGGGCAGUUGGGUAUAGGGUGAUAUUAACAGCCAUGACGACGACACCGCACGAAGGGUAGAAAGCCGGGAAAAUUGGAGAGGUCGAAAAUCUAAUAUUAUUAACGGGGCAAAGCCCUUUUUUGUUUUUCUUUUGAUGAUGAUGAUGGCAACACACAAACGUGUGUAGUGGGUACACUAUGCGCUUCAACUGAAACAAUCGACCACACUAGAGGCUGCUCAUCUCUGCAGCCGACCCCGGCAUUCUUCCCCCAGCUGAAUCAGACGAGAGAAGAAGAAGAAGAGUCUUUUCUGCACGCACACCCCACACAAUAUCGUGGAGCGAGCCUCCUCCGACGGGCAGACUACACUCAAAGCAAUUCAAAGAGUCAAACAUCGGGGUCAGCCGUGCGGUUCGUGGGAAAAUGAAAAAUCACAUUGCCAGCAGUCGCUGCCGCUCUUUUGCUUCUGCUCCACCACCACCACCACCACCACCACCUCGAGCGCCCACAAGAAGAUAGAAGGUGGUCGGUCGGUUGGUCGUCCUAUCUCCGCUACGCUCCAGUCGGUUCGCUCUUCUUCUUCUACUUUUCGGUGGAUUGUUUUGGUGAGUAGGUAGAAGGAGAAGAACCGAGGAGAGUCAGAGAGGAAGCCCAACACGCGGGGCUAUUGUCUUCGACGUAUAUAGAAAACAAACCCCGACGAGCUUUUCUAAAAAAGAAUUUUUAUGAAUAAAGAAAAAGGCCUCUGGUAAAAAGAAACAAAAAUGUGGAAUUUUCUCUUUUCGGGUUCUGCUCGUGAGGUCAACUAUAUCAAAGUUUUGUACGUUAGACGGAGUGCUGCGGUGUGAGUGUCUCUCCUCGUAUUUAUUUAUAGGGUGGAAGAGGUUAGCAAAAUACAAGAGCAGCGGGUUACUACUCGGAAAAAAUAUGCGGAGAUGAAAGCUUGUUGUUCCCCUUCUUGUCGAUUUAAUAGAUCUAAUCGGAAACCAUCUUUGACCUCCCAAGACGAACGGGGCGAUGUGUGACCACACGAUCUUCCCCACUCUCUCUCUCUGUCGUACUCCCGACCUUUUAUUAUUUUCUUCAGGCAGUCACGUGUGUGUCUUUCUGUGAGGAACUUUUGAGAGCUUUAUUUUGUCGUUUCCUCUUCCAACUGUCACAACACACCAGUCGUUACGACGUCUAGGGUUUUUCGCCGUUACUUUCUCUCAACUCCUUUUGAUUACCGCGACGAUUUGAUUGGACGUGACGAGGCGGAACAUAUUCGCCCCACCAUUUUCCUUUCCGUUUUUCUGACCGCGGACAAAAUACAAGAAUUUCACAAAGCAAAUAAUAAUCAUUUUUUUUUACUUCUUUUCUUUCUUUCCUUCUUUACGGCCCCCGUACCCAUCAUUAAAAUAAAAACGAAAGGGACAGCGCGCGGUAGCACAAAUCUAUUUGACAAGUAGCGGGAUAUGGAAUCAAAAUGAAAUGAUAAUAUAAUAACGAGUCGUAACAACCAGAAUAAAGGGCGACUCGGUUCCGGGGAAAUUUGAAGCGACAAAUAAAAACGACGCGGUUCCACUUUUUUUUAAUUUUUUUUAGGGAAAGACAUUAAAAGUCAAAAUAUGGGGGCUAAAAGGCUCGAGCAAGAAAAGGAAGCGCGCUCCAGAGUACUGUAUAAGAUCUAUAAAAACUCGGAAGGUAUUACGUUCCAUUUUGAUUUUGACAUUUCUCAGAUCCUCUUUUUUUUCCUUUUCUUUUCUUGUUUCUUAUUUUAUAAUGGGAAGCGCACAUGUAUAUCAUUCCCCCAUCAACCCUCUCGACUGUGCAGUCCUUAAAUAUUUAUGUACUGAUGGCAAUUCGUUUCAAAGGAAAUACGAACAUCAAAAAGAUAUUCGUUGUGUCGUUGCUUUUUUUUUCUCGGUCGCUGGGCUCGCGGUGCUAAAACUGGGAGGAACGCGGGAGGAUUGCGCAUCACGCAAAAGCGUAUCUAGGCAUCGGCAACUGUUUUCUACGGUCUUGGUGGCACAUUGAAAUGCGUGCGUGUGCUGGAUUCGAGGGGAAAAAACACAAACCCAAAAACACACCGGACGCGAGAAAUUGAGAUUUAUAUUAUUUAUACGCAUAUGGCGUAUGUAGAGGUCUAUACACGCAGCAGGAGUAGCUAAGUUGGACGGUAUUCCGCUUGAUGCUUUAUAGCAAAUAUUCUUUACAGUUACGUCCAAGUUAUUACAUAUUUUUUUCUAAGAAAAAAGAAAAAUAGGAGAACGUUUUUCUUACAGGGGGUUGAUGGGAGGGUCAGGUCAUUGAAGACUCGAAACAAAAGAAACGAAGGAAAGUACUAUUAAAUGCGUGUAGGUACGUAUGUGCAGUUUAAAAUAUAAUAGGUAAUAUAAGACGGGCAGUAAAUAUAAUAUGGACCAAAAACCCUAUAGCUAUACACAGAGUCUGGGCUACAGGGAACCCCUCUCGUGAGUGAGCGUGCAGACUUGUAUUUUUUUUUCCCUUCAUAUUUCUGGGUGUUGUUAUUUCGUAACCCAUCCACCCCACCUUAUUCUUUUGUUGUUGUCCUCGACUUCUUAAAUCGUAAAAACCAAAUCUUUUCGCAUCACGCACGACGACAAAAAUGAAAAAUUGUCUUCAAAACGGACCCCGAAAACAAAAGGAAAUCACACCGCAAAAUCCCCUUUUACAGGAAUAAAAAGCGACUUUCCAACCAUAUAACAGCUGUGUAGCUAGCUGCUAGCUGUAUACGCGUGUGUGUGUCUAUAGAGGGAGAUAAGCACCUUAUAUACGCAACAUGCGGAGUACAUAAUACUUUGCAUGCGGCAGUGCCCGCACAAACACGCAAAGACCCACCGGUAAGGUGCGCACACAGAAACGUUGGAUCCAAACAACAGCGUGAAGCUUUUUGUUUCGUUUCGAUUAGAUUUUAGAAGGGAAACCCCAACGCUGACUACAUCAAAAAUUAAAAACACCCCCCAAAAAACACCCAAAAAAGCCGUUCUUCUUCUUAUUCUUUCCUUUUCGGUCUCGAUCUUCUUGACAAGCGCAACCUUUUAAUAGGUCCCACCGCAAUCUCGAAAGCGAGAAGCGCAGAAUGUGUCCCAUAUUUUUUUGUUUUUGUAUUUUCUGUUUAUAUGCGCGACGACCCUUGUAGCUGCUGCAUGCUGCCCCUCAUUUCCAGUAUAGCGCUCACGCAUGGAUGUGUAUAAUUCCGAAAUGAAGAACCCAAGAAUGGAUGGGAACUCUGCCGGUCUUUGGCAGGCAGACAAGACACACACACACACAUACUCCUUAUAUCCCGCCGUCUUUCUGGCGUCUCUCUCUCUCUCUCUCUCUCUCGCUAUAGACAUCCCCAAAAGUGUUUGAAUACAAAAAAUAACCCACCCGAGAGAGAAACUCAAAGAAAAAAAGUAUAAAUAAGAAGGGCCGAGGCGUGCCUAAUGAAUUUGAUAAUGUAAUAAUGGUGGCUAUUGUUAUUACGUGCCGAGCUAAUGAGAAAGAAGAAGAGAGAAAAGGGGGGGAGGACUCUUACGGUCUAUAUGCUCCUUGUUCACGGCAUGGCGAUGGCGAGGAUUCUACGAUCGUUGUUGGCAGCGGCGUAUAAUAACGAACGCUCACACAAGCACAGAUUCCACGUGUCUUCUGGCGAAGUGGAAGGGUGGUUGGGUGGGGGUGGGGAACCAAGUCUAACUUGCAGCAUAUAUAUAGCAAGUACUAUUACAGCAUUCUUUUGAUGUUGGGCGACCCCUAUGCGCAUCCUUGGGAUGUGGAUUGUUGUUAUGACGCUGUAUACUAGUGUACAGAUGUUUAUUGGGAUAGGGUGAAGAAUUUCUUGUCUAAUUUUAGGUCCUCAACUUUUCGGCUUGUUGUUAUACACCAGGAUGUCGUAUAAUUUGCGCUUUAAAACUCGAGAGGACGCGACAACGACGACCCAGAGGUUUAUCAUACGAAGAGUUGUUGUAUUAUACGUAUACGUGUAUACGUCUACCCGGAGGUUCCGCUGUUGAAGAGGAAAAGGCUUGAGCGCAUAAUAUUAUUAUCUGGGAAAUGAACAGAGGAGGAAGAAACUAAAAAAAAAAAAUCUAAAGUUCCUUAAUGAAUUCAACUUUGUUUAGGGAGUUGCAAAGGCCGGAAGAAUCCGACAUUUGAUUCAGUUUGAAGGGUUAGUUCACUUCCUGACGGGAUGGAGUGUGCCGAAAGUUUUUUAGAGAACAUUUUUCUGCCUCUGUGAUGUUGUUGAAUAUAUUGAACAAAUUGUAUUUUAUUUAUUUUUUAAAGUGGCAAUGACUUCAUUAUAGACACUCUCUCCUCUCUCUCUCUCUCUCUAUUACGCUACCACUAAAAGGAGAGGGGGGGGGGGACUUGAAAGUUGCAAGCGGCGGCCUUCUCUUUUGAUUAACGUCCUGAAACGUUAUGUCGUUCAUUGCCCAUUUCCGUCUCUCUCUCCCUUUGGAAAAAAAUAUGAUAAAUUGCUUAUACAACAUUCUCGAUUUGAAAUACACUUUUGAUUAAGUGCAAUUUGGGAUUCUGUUUGAAUCUCCAUCGAUCCAUCUUUUUGAAUUUUUUAAAGGGAAAAAACAAAAACAAAAAAAAAUUCGUUCGUCUGAAACGAAUUGCACACGGCAGCCAGAAAAACUACUCGGUCGUAAAAUGUUAUCGUCCAACUGGAGGAUAUAGACAAGAGAUGACGAUAAUGAGCCUUGCAAAAUCAAAGAGUUAUCUGCGAUGAGCAUAAUAACGAAAUGGUUGUUAAAAGCUGCUCCGUGUGUUGGUACUACUAUACUCUUUUAUAUAUAUAUUUUUUCCCCCUCCUGGUCCCGAGUUCUUUUUAUGGAGACAAUUUUCAUUUUCACAUCCACACGGCGCUCCUCCUUUUUCUUCUUUUUUUUUUAUUUGUGUUAACUUUUUGUAUUAGUUUUGUUUCGUAUUCUUGUUUUUUGUUGUUGUUGUUGUCUUCCGUCGGAUCCCCCCCUUCUCUCUUUGGAACGAGAAACAACUCCCGGUGUUGUCGUUUAUUGUAUCGUGAAUUCGUGAUGCUCGCUGAUGCUCACUCAUUCACGGAGCCGCGCGCACUCACCUUUUCAUCUUUCUUCCAGUUCUUUUUUUAUUCCACCACGAAAAUUGCUUUUCUUUUUUCGUUUCUUUUUUUAUAUACGUUCUCCUCCUCCUUCCUUCCCCCUGUUGUUAUUAUUCCUUUCUGAAAUGACAUUAAACUUCGUGUUUAAUGGCAUUUCCCUCCAUCCAUCCCACCCAUCUCGAAAGAUAUGAGGAGAGCGGAGACAAUGAGGGAGACUUGUGAGCAAAAGGGAUGGUGAUGCCGAAAUGAGACCUAUACUUUACUCUUAUAGUCUAAUAUAGUGGUGGAGUACAUUAAAGCCUUUAUUCAGCCGGAAGUUAGUCGAAUUAUCUCCUCUUUUGUUUUCCUUUCUUUUUUUAUUAUUAUUAUUAUUAUUUCUAACGAACGUUAACAAAGUUUUCAAGAUUUCUCCGAGCCUGUCGGAUGAGAUCGUUGAUGCUAUGGUCUUUGUAAAUAAAUAGUCAGUACCAAGAAAAUGGGGAAUAAUAGGUGAACUUUUAGGGGAACGAAAUAUUACAUCAAGAAGAAUUCGGUCGGUGUGGUAGAUAUAUACCAGUCGCGUUUUGGAUUAGACAUACCGCCGGGCCGGGCGGCCACGCAUUCCGCAGCUUUUUUGGGGAUCUUCCAUGGGGUUGAAAAAAGAAGAAAAAAAGACGAGACGAGACGGUUUCGAGAUUUAUGUGCAUUUUCAAACUCAGCGAUAAAAGGAAAAUGAAGAAGAAAAAACAACAUAGAGAUUUUCAACAGCCCAAAACUAUGAAAAGAAGAACUCCAAAGUUAGCUAUUUAUUGUAAAUAUAGCUAUAAGGAUAUACUAUAGUAGUGGUAGUGGUAGUAUGUGGUCCGCGCUCAGUUGGGUCAAAGAAAUUUCUCCCUCGUCGUCCUUAUGUAGAUAUUCCUCUCGUCGUUUCGAUUCUUGAACCUGAACGGCCCGAAGCUGAGAGAUUUUUCUAUACAACAUUUUUUCAAAUUUUUUUCUCCCCUUUUCCUCUCUCUAGCUGCUGCCCCUGUAUAAUCGUUGAGAUGAUCUAUUUGAAGAAAAAUAAGGAGAAGAGACAGCGCGGAUAAAAAUUUUUUUUUUUUUCCUUUUCAAAAGGGAAGAUGAAGUAGAGGCCAAGGGAGAGAGAGAGAGAGAGAGGGGGAAAAAAAAAUAACACCGAACGUCGUGGAGGAGCCUCACAAUGGUGGUUAAUUGCUUGCAUUAUAUAUUAUAAAAAUGUGUGGUAUUAUUUAUAGGCGUCGUGACGGGCCGGGCGCGCUGGGCUGCGUUACGGCAAGUUGGAGACACUUCUCUCCUCUUUCACACCAUUUUCCGUGUCAAAGUAUUUGACACGUCCCCGCUAUAGGGUAUUAGGUAGUACGAGAGAGGAGAGAGAGGACUACACGAAAGUUACGAAAGGAGAAGAAGAAGAAACUUUUUCUUUUCUUUCCUCUUGGCCGCUCCUAUAUGUAUGUUGUAUUAUAUUAUAUAUAUUCUCACCCUGUUUCCAUCAUGGCUCCGGGCUCCUGCCGGCUAAUUAGCUAAUCCGCCCCACCCAUCGUAUUUUUUCUUUCCUUACAUGCAUACAUAAAUUCGAGAGAGAAAAAUGAAAUCUAAUAAACUAAAAUAAAAUAAAGAUAAAGCAGCGAAAAUGCGUGUCGGCAAGCCGUUGGUUGGAAGAGCCAAAAGUCGUAUAAGGACCGAUUUAUUUCAAUACAUUUGUAUAUAUUUGUACAGAGGAGGAGGAGGAAGAGAACGUGGUGGUGUGUAUAGCCUCGGCUGCGAUCAGCUGUUAUUUCUUUUUAUUUUCAUUUUUUUUUUCUCUCUCUCUCUCUCUCUCUUUUACCCGCAAUGUUUUUUCCAUCAUCCUGUUGAGAGUUUUUCUUCGUCUCAUGUUGGGACUUUCGGGGGGUCGGAGCGAUACCCGAGACACAGCGGAGAGCGGUAACUCACGGAGCGGAGAAAGAGCGUGACUUCCUAUACCUCUUAUAAACACUCCGCCAUCCGCAACGGGAGAAGAUAGAUCAUAAGAUAGACUGCUAUAUAUAUAUAUAUAUAAUAUCCUCUAUGCUGUGAUCCUCCCUCUCUCCGAUGUCUGUUAUUCUCGACUCACGUGACCUUUGAUCGUUUUUUCUUCUUUUCUUCUUAGUUGAUUCUUCUUCUUUUUUUUCUCUUUUCGGCGUAGGUAAAAUAAAAAUAAAGUGGAAUAUGGGUCGUCGCCCCGAUCAACAAACUCAAGAGUCGUUGCUAGGAAUGUCAGGAAAUAGAAAUAAGAACAAGUCUCUGGGGCCGCAUAUAUAUAGUAAAGAUCUCAAAAGUCUUUUCGCAACAUGAGCGCAUUACUUCCAAGUUCCAACUUUGGCUGUUGCUUUUUUUUUUGCGGCAGAGCGGGAACAACUUUUUCUUUUCCGCAACAUUGUAAAAAAAGAGAAAAAGGGAGAAUAAAGAAUGAGAAAAGUCUGGUGCAUAAAUCAGUUUGAAGGUGUGCGAUGGCUCGAGUCCGCGUAGUACAUCGCCCGAGACUUUUUCAACUUUAUACUUUUCUCGAGGUUUUUUUUUUUUAUUUCGCCUUCGUUUGGGAUGUUAUCGCUACAUAGCUCGUUUUUUUUUUCAAACCUCUCGCUUCUUUCUUUUUUUUCUCGUCUUGAUGAUAAAUGAAAACUUUUUAGGUUCAUCGUCACUUUUAUCCGUUCCGACUUGCUGGUCUUGGCCUUGCGCCAGUUUUAUAACUGUAAUAAUCAUCGGCUUGAUAUUCCAUCAUCCAUCAGCAUACAUAAAGUCUAGACCCCAAUAACGAAUGUGUGUAUAUAUAAGAGAACGUCGAUGUUCGAAAAAAGAAAGAAAUUAAAAACAACCAACAAAACAAACAAGAAAUCACAGAGUGGAAUAAUGGCUCUACUAUGCGAUGAUAUAUUAGAUAGAUAUGGAUAUGAAUGUGCUGGUUCGUAUCUACACAACAAUAACUAAAGCAAUAGAUGGGGCAUAACUUGUUACCAUCUAUUUUACGACGUGACCGCACCAAUCUGACCAAUUUCGGCUCUGGCAAGUUGCGUCGUUAACUAAGGAAGAAGAAGAAAAAAAAGGAUGGAGGUACGACGGCGAGCCGAAACUUUGUUGGCGCUCUUGUAUAAUAAUAUAGUCUCUAUAGAUUUGACUGCGAUGGCUAUGUAACGCGCAUUUUCGAACUUGUCAGACACGAUGCGGGUCUCUCCUCUUUAGGGAAAUAUCAUAAGUUAUAUUACUAUAUACGUAUAGACUGCCAACGAGUGUUUGGAAUAUCUUUGGGAAAUAUCUAUCUGUAUUGGUGAUAAAUUCGCUGCGGGUCAACGUGACUGGCCGGCCAUCCCCGCGUCUUGUCCUCGUGUAAGUUGCCUUUCACGACCGUUCUUUUGCCCGAUGCUCAUCUCUCUUACACGGACCUAAAAAGGGGAGACCAGAGAGUCGCACAAAUACCCUUUGGGUCUGUUGUGUGUGUGUGUGUGUGUGUGUUUUGAGAGAAUUGGCGUUUCGAUUUCAUACACAUCCGACAACAACCGACGGGGGAGGUUUGAUUUACAUUAAAUUCGGUUGUUUUUUUCUUUGAAUUUUGUUUUCGAUUUCUUGGCUCCGUCCCGAUGCUACUGCCUUUGCUACUUGGCCCAACCGACUACUUUGCUGGUGGCGCCGACUGUUUCUCUGCUCACACAUGCGUAUGGCAUUAGAAAGCUUCACGGUCUAUGAAUUAUGCAAACACAACAACUCCCUCCCGUCUCUGAAACACACGCGGACACGAAGCGAGCCGGGCAGCAGCAGCAGCAGCAGCAACGAUACUCGGAGCGGUUAUAUAGCUAAGAGAGGGCCCCUCUCUCAAUAGCUGCGUGUGCACAUAUAAGGCUGGCUCACCGUUCGUCCAAGCGUGUGUACGUCUGUCUGUGUGUAAAGAGAGAGAAGAGAUACAGAUCAAUCAUCGUCGUCUUGACGUGCCGCGCAAGGUGGCCGUGUCCUGUAUUUUCGUUACAUAUCGUUAUACAUCUUCCUCGCCUCCACCCAUUCCCUUGGCAUUUAUAAGUUGAUGCUAAUGAAGGACAGAACGACCGAAAAACAGGAUAUAGCUGUAUGGUAGUAUAGAGCUGCUACUAGUAGAACCACGUUCGUAUAUAUGGCGCGAUCACGGCUCCUGAUAAAACCUCGUCUAUUCCGCUUCUCUCCCUUUCUCUCUCUCUCUCUCUUCUCUUUUUGAUUUAUAUGCUAUUAUCUUAAUUGCAUCGCCAGCUGAUAUAACGGAGCUCCUAUGCAGCAAUUGUGCUGUGGAGAAAACGACCGCAAAUCCUUGUGGCCCUGCUCUCUGCCCAAACGAAUUUAAGGAAAAAUAAAUAAAAGAACCAAAAAGCUGUGCUUGAUCACUUCGCUGAAUACCGAGAAGAGAAACAAAACUGUCAAGGACAAUACGGUUUAUUUGGAAGAGGAAAAAAAUAAUGACGUUGACGUCGGUUGACGUCAGCAAAUGUUUUGUACAUCCGUGUGUACCUAUGGUGAAUAUAGUUAAAAGCCUGAAAGAGUGUAUGUACAAGAAAUAGGCAGCACGGAUGUGGAAUGGAUGAUGGCCGCUCUCCUUUCAAUGGCGAAAUCCUUGAAGAGUUACGACAGCGAGCUGCCAAAGAAGAUAUACCGGGAAACUUGCUGGGGCCAACCACCAGCAAUUGUACAACACGGCCCAAAUUGUUUCGUGAUUAAUCAAAUCCACGCGAGACGGCAGCGGCGGCCAAGCCCAUCAUUCUGUGCAGUUGAGUAAACUAUAAGUUGCAGCAGUGGCAUCAUCAUCCGCAUAAGAAUAUUCACUACACCGAGUCAAGAAUUUGGUUAUACCAAGGUACAUAUCUAUAUACGUAUACAACAUUUCGGGUAUUGUGUAGUCCCUUGAUAGUGAAUAGCCGAAGAGUUGUUAUUGCGAACCCUGUUUUCGGUUGUUGUGACGGCCACCAGGCAUUGUUGUUGUUGUUAUCCAGCGUGCGGAUGCUCAAAAGGACGUCUUGAAAGUUAUUUCUCUCGUCUCUCUCUCCUUGCCAUUCUUCUCGAGCUGAAGACAAUUACGAUCCGACUUUGGCGGUGGAUGCCAUAGCUCAUGCUCGAUUAUGCAUGCAUAACGCAAGAUCUUGUGCAACAACUUCCCGAAAAAAAAAACUCUUGGCGCUCAACUCCGUGGCCCAGCUGCACGGUACAACCCCCCUCGUUUCUUCUUUUUUUUUAAAUCUUUUUUUUUUUGGGUAUUAUUUAUUUAUUUAUUUUUUCUUUUCUUUAGCGCAUGCUUGAAAUGAUUAGCGUUUUGAAUUAUACUUCACGAUUUCAAUAGGAGAGAGCCGGUCUGCAUGGCCCCGUUAUAGAAAGAGCGUGCUGCCAUAGCUCGUCGUCCUCGGGAGUCUUCCAUCUUUUCUUGUCGUGAUGUCUUCCCUUUGGUCCGUCGAUUCAAUUUUUUUUUACCUUCCCCAUUUCGGCUGGAUGGCGACUGCCGACCUUAAAUCUCUCGUCGUCUACAUGCUGAACUGCGUCACUUUGGCUUUUUCCUUAAAUGAAAAUCGUCAGAGAGGCAAGUUAAAGGACGACUGUCCUGCGACUGUUAACCCGCUGAACUUAAAAACUUACAAAGUCAGCAUCAAUUUAUAGCCAACCGCCCGGAAUCCCGAUGAGAAGUGCCACUCUCUGUGGGCUGGCUAGACGUAGAGACCUAUACAUGUAAUACUAGCACUCUGCGACCCAACCGACUCGACCCCCAUUCACAGCCGCCGCGUCAUUCCAUCACAAGCGCCGUGAUUUAUACGGAGUAAGCAAUCGUGACCAAAGAGAAUGAAAAGAGUCGAUGGUUGUCGGCGUAUUCCAUCCCAUGUGGCUGGACUAUUUUAUAUAACGUCCUCCGCUUGUUUUAUUUUUAUUUUUUUAUAUUAAUUGUGUUACACAAUUUUUUUAUCUUUUACGUUUGGUUUUCAGCCUUAUUAAUUCCUUUAUCUUAUUGUGUGCACACCGGGGCCGUGUAUAUUUGUGUAGGAUAUAAUCUCUCGCUCGCUAUCGUCCCUCGAUGUUUUUUGGAUUUCGUUCGAUGCUGUCUCGCCCUUUUCCGCCUCCUGAGUCCUGAAUAUUUGACUUGUGAUACAAUUUACGAUCUCGGCGCUCCUUGUUGAAAGAAAGAUGUCCUUUGAUUGGGAAAUUUGGAUUUCAACACAAACUCAAAAGACGUGAAGAAUUUUGUUUUCUUCUUACCAUCCCCCUCCCCCUCACCGCUAAAUAACUGAAACGGGAACAGGACGGGGAGGACUCCUUGAAAGAUUGGACUGAUUAGCUCCGUUCCGUUCCCUUGGUAGUUGUGUAAUAAUAAAUAUGCCUGAAUGCAGAAUGCCAUGCAGCAGCGAGCGCAGUUCAUCAGAAAUAACGAAGGGGAAAUCUAUAAAUCUCUGAUGAUGAUGCUCGCGUAUGGCGUUGCGUAACAGAAAAACACACUUUUCUAAAGAAACGAAAAUUGUUGGAAAGGGGAGAAAAAAAAAGUUGCCGAGUGAUGGAUGGAACCCUUACGGUUUAGUAAAAAAAAAAAAAAAAAAAAAAUAAGAAAAUGGGAGGCACAGCUCGCAGCCUUUUGUGUGUGUGUGUGUUAACGGGAUGAAUUAUUCCGCGUACUACAGCCGAGCCGAGCAGUGAAAAUUGCUCUCCUUUUGUCUCUUUGCGGUGGAGACUUUUUUUUUCUUUCUUCGCUAUUGAGGAAGAAGAAUGUCUAAGUCGAUGUGGAGUAUACAUAAGAGAAAGAGAGCCAUUACUACCAUUUUGGGACGACGGCGAUGAAUGCUUCUUCGCCACUGCUAAGCUCCUUACAUAAUAUAGUGUCUCGAGCGUUAGUGUUCAUAUAUCUGUGUCAUCAGCCCCCUUCUCACUGCUCUAUAAGCACAGCAAGUGUGUGGAAUGGGGGUCGUGCUCAUCCCGCGUAUCUCCCGCACAAGACAACAACAACCAAAACGAACCAAAAAAAAAAAAACAAAAAAACAUAAAAACAAUCUAAGCUGAAAAAAUGCAGUCCGCAACUCAUCAUCAUCACAUCGCCGUCGAUGAUUUUUUCGUGUGAGUUUGUGGAGCGGCGUAUACUACAUCUAACAAUCGCAGAGUGUAUACAAGACACGGACAGAACAAAAAAAAAAUGGAGCCGUUAUUAUUUAGCCGAAGAAGGAACAGGGAGGAGGUUUCGGUCGUUUUAACAGAACGACGCAGCAGUCCGACCCGGUAAUGCGUUCGGCCGCACUUGUCGGCAAAAUGCCCCAGAGAAAUAGGAAAACCGAAUUUACAUAUAGACUUUUUGCCAUCAGGGGAGGACCGGAGCAAUGUCGGGGGAUUGACAGGAGAAGAGGGAAUCUCCCGUAUAGUAUGUAUACAGCAGAGCUCUUUGAAGAAAAAAAAAACACACGCUUGGUUAACCGAGGGCGAAAUGACACAGUGGUUUGCCAUAGUCGUCUUUUUUUUUCUCUCCCGUUAGUGCGGCAUUGCAAGGAAGGGGGUGUAUAGUAUACGUUCCGGCUGGAUGGAAUAAAAGACAAAAAAAAAAGACAGUUUGGAGGUGUGUAAAACUCGUGUAAAAAGAUUUCCCCCCGCUUUUCUUUUUCUUUUAAAAAUGAAUGAAGAAAGAUAAAGCAGUUUUGGCAAAGGGCGGAGUGUUACGGCGUUGGUCCGUUACGGAUACGUCCGGAUGCCGAACGAUUUGUGAUUGAAACGAAUCUGUUGGCGCCGUGUCCGUUGUUUGAAUUUCAACUAUUUGAGCGGACGUGAAACCAAAUCAUUGCGAGAGAGGCCGGAUAGUUUUUGAAAAGGGGCCUUCGCCUGGCCGUCCCGCUACAACACUCGACGCGUUUCAGAAAUCUCAUUCCCGCCGCACGCAGCCAACACGGCAGUGAAAAUAACAAACAAACGAAAAUAAAUACAAAUUUUCCCAAACAAAAAGAAAUGGUCGAAGUAAAAAGAAGAAGAAGAAGAAGAAGAAGAAGGAGGAGGAAAUGAAAGGAUAAAUGGAAACGCGCUGGGAUUGAUGACUGGAGAGUGAUUCAGUCGGGGCGGGCGCAGUCCGUGACGAACGGCCCGGGUUCUAUACACCCCCGGCGCGUUAUUUCUAAAUUUUAUUUUAUCUUAUUUAUUUUGUUAGUUUUUCUUUUUUUUUCUUUCCAAAAGAGAGUCACAGAGAGGAGCGGUAUAGGAGCCGAUGGGCUUGAGCGAUCGGUCGUGCAAAUGUCACAGCCGCUAGAGCAAGCACAUCGCGUGAGCUUGUUGUAUUGUACGAAUUACAACGACGCCAGGAAUUUGACGAUUACGACAACAACAACAACAACAUACACAAAAAAAGAAAUACAAAUAAUAAUGUAUAGCCAACUAAGGGUGAUGGUCAAUUUCUUUUUUUCGUUCUCCCUCCCGGUUUAUCUGUACACGUCGUGUGUAUCAUUUUGGAGCUCAAGUCGUGCGUGAAGCUCCGGGUCGUUUCACAUGUAAUGCCAAUACCAACAACAAACCCAAAUAAAAAAAAAAUAAAAAAAAAAAUCGUUCGGUCACAGAGUUUUCUUCUCGUUCGUUUGCCCAACACGAAUUCGAUUAGAUUAUUACGUCGUCUAUUAUGAUAGGACUAUUCCCAUUUUCUCUAUAUAUAGCUCUCUUAGCUCCGUCCUGUUUAGGAACCGCUGUCGGUCCGAGCCCCGCGUAUAGCCAUGGCGUAAUCUAAUUGCCUUUAAUUGACUUUUAUUCCUUCUUAUGUCGAGAACCACCUUUUCUGUGUUUUUGGAGCGGGGGGCUCCUCGUAAAAAAAGAACGAAAACAGCAACAUACAACGAAAAUGGGAGUGGAUCCAUCCAGUUUGGUCUCGGCGACUGUUAUAGCGCAAAGUGGAAAUUGCUCUCUUGUUUUUCGGGUUUAUUUAGUUGAUUUUUUUACGAGACGAUUAUCAAUCAGCUUUGAUUGAUAUUCACGAGUUAAUCUGCAGCUUGAAUUUCAACCACGAAAGGGUCGUUACGAUUAGCGUGUACGUUCAAUUGUCCAUUUGAGUUUUAUGAGACUCGAAGGAACAACUCUUUGCUCACAGAAAAUCGCCGUUAAACAAGCAAACGAAAUGAGAGAGAGAGGAACGAAAAAAAGAGCUCGUGGAGGAGCUUAAAGUCGUCCGACCGCGUUUCUUUUUCUUCGCACUCGAAGAAUGAAAAUGAAAUAAAUAGAAAAGAAACUAGAAGGAAAAAAAUAAAAUAAAAUAGUCGGCGGGAUUGAAUAAGGCAUUGAUGAUGAGCGCCGGCCAAAAGAAGAAAAAAAGGAAAAGGGAAAACUAACAAAAGAGAUUUUUCCCCUUUUUUCUUCUUAUUCUUCUUCGUCUGAACUCAUCCAACGCUGUUCACUCUGGCGGAUCGUGAGGAUCAGCUGUCGCUAGGCAUUUUGAUUCACUAUACCACGUCACCAAAGUUCUUCCUCUCUCAUAGAAAGUGAAUAAAAACGAGCCUCACAGAGAUGUCAUUGGCUUGCGCCACAUUCGAGAUGCAACUCGUGUUUCUCCUCUUCUAACCGUUGAUCCCCUCCUGUCCACUAGAGAGAGAGAAAGAAAAUAACAACACACCAACAACAAAACAACAAACUUUUUUUUUUUUUUCUAGCCGUCUUCUAUUACUAUACGAAUGGAAGAUGGAAGACGCGCCUGGAUGCCUCGCGGAUAAAAUGGAUUCCCGAUACAACAUUUAUUUUUCCUAUUUAUUUUGGUUAGAAGAUUUUUUUUUCUUUCUCUUGUUUCUUUUUUUUCCAGUUCUCGUUGUUGUGAUUGUCGUGUUUUGAAGCGAUCGUGAUGUGCGUGAAGGUGCGUGACUGAGAUGCGUGCGACAGCCAGCAGAUCGCGCGCGCGAAAGACGCCCCUGAAAGUCGCCCAAAUCGACUUGGAAAUUGAAUCGGAAAGAAGAAAACAAAAAUCGACUAUGACGUUGCAAUUUCUCUUGCGAAAAUCAAAGAAAAAAGAAUUCUAAAAUUGAACCGCACAUUUUCCGCAUUUUUUUUAAUUUGCGGUUGAGGGUUUUUUUUUCUUCUUAACUUGACUCUCACUCGCCAUUUGUUUGACAAUUGCUCGGCGAUCCGGCCGAGUUGGCUGCUGGCUGGCUGCUGCCGUCAAUGUCGUCGCUCUUGUUUUGGUUUUUUUCUUUCGACUCGCUUUUCCGUCUCGGUCUUCGGUUAUUUUCCUCCUUUCUCCUUGAUCUGUCGUCGUGAACUCGUCAGACUUGCAAAGGAGAGAAAAGGAGAGUCUGAACGGCGACACACAAAAAACGAUACGAACCCAGUGGCUCUUUCCGCUUGUUAUACCGGCGCUUUAACGUGUCGGCUGUCGUGAAGGGAAGACAGACUAUGUCGUCUGUCUCCCAUCUCUCUCUCUCUCUCUCUCAGGAAUCUUAUCUUAUCUCGUUUUAUACCUCUAAAGAUACAUCACAACACACACAAGGACGAGGAAAAAGACAAAAAAGACCCAAAAACUUUCCGGGUCGUUUUGUCUCGCGGGCCAAAGAGCUCGAAAUACAUUGACUCAUCUCCUUGUUUACGAUCUAUCCUGCGCUAUAUAAUAGCUGCUGCUACCGCAUCUGCAGGGCGCGUAUCAAUCCGUGCGUCUCUCUCCAGCCAACGCCAAGGUAUUAUAAACCUGUGUAAGAAAUCAUCGUCUCUUUUGGCAUUUUCCAAACACGCGUCUGCGUCUAUAAUCUUGUGAAAAUUCCGUCAUGUCGACAGACGGGAAAGAGCAGAUGGGGGAAAAGAAACGGCAGACAGCCGAGCUGCUCUUGUAUAAGAAAAAUCAAACGACGGACGAAGCGUUCCUACAAGAGGCAAGACGAAAUAAUCAUUUUAAUUGAGGUUUUUCGUUAUGGACAAAGUAGCGCAACGAGUUCGUCUCUUAUAUUAUCCUCCUUCCGCUGCUGCUGGUCCAAGCAGAUUAUUUCCCGCCCGGUAGAUAUUUAGACGCGAAUAAGAAAUGCUUUCCGUGAAUCAAACAUUAUUCACUUGAAGUUUUCCGUUUAUAUAAUACGGCACGACUAUAGGAGAACCAGUUCUGAGGGACUCAAAAAUCGCCGGGGCGCUGCUGCCCUGAUGAUGGCGACUCGAAAUGAAAUAAGAAGGCCGUGAAAAAGCAAUUUGGUCGUCGUCGUUUUCACAUUGGCUUACACGUGCUGACGUUUUUCUCUUCUUCUUCCACAUCCAGCACUUUUGUGGACGCGCUGUUGCUCCCCGCGUCACUGGACGCGCGCAAUCCACGUCCACCGAAACGGAAAGUUUCGCCGCUUGCAUCACUCACGCCACGUAUCAAUAUUGAUUGUUGCGUGGCCUUCUUUUCUCUCUCUCUCUCUUGUUUGUUAUCUUCUCUCUAACGUCUUUCCUUCUCUUUUCCCGUCAUAUCCACACAGAGAAAGGGGGAAGAAGAAAAAAAAAGCGGAUGCGAGAAGGGAAAAUCCAUUCCGGGCGGCCGGCACGGAUUUGCUGUCGCUGCUGUUACCGCAAAACGUUAGUGCUGAACAAGCAAUAAAAGAAGAAGGGGGGAAAGAAUACGAAGAAGAAGAGAAAGAAAGAAAAAGGAACAAAACAAAAUAAAAAAAAUGGGACACAAACGGACGGGCGGACGGACGGGCGCGGACACACGAAUGUGGAAGGGGAGGGUGUAGCGGUAUGUAUAGUAGCCCGCGUGCAUGUUCUCUCCUCUGUCCGGCGUUGGUAGGAGAGAGGAUGAUGCAUGGCGCGCCCCAUUCCCAACUUUGAAUGAUACGGUGACAUGAAAGAGCUGUGACCGUCCGGCCGUCCAUCCAUCCAGUCUCCAUCCACCGUGUAGUGUGCCCGUAUAUAGUGGCUGCUACUACAAACUCUAUCAGAGAGGAAAUAUUACAUAAGCCUUGGGCCCGUCGCUAGGGUCGCCCUAAAUGCGUUGAAUAAGGAGGACGUGCCGCUCGCCUGUGGUAGCAGCUGACAAACACUCGCAGGCCCGGCACGACCGCACGGGCAAAGAAAAGAAGGAGAGAGAGAGAGAGAAAAAAAAAAGAUAUAUAUAUAUAAAUAAAUAUUAUAAGAAGGAAAAAAGAAAAGAGACAUGUUCUACCACUCUAUUCCAUUUCUGUGAUGUGGCUGCUGUUAUAGGUUGGAGCCGUUCUGACGCUCGGCUCUUUCUCAAUAUUUAUAUACGUACACAUGACAUGGGCAUCGACCCGAUCCAGCCAAUCUCGCAUUCCAUUCCGUAUAGGAAAAAAAGUUUUUUUCUUUUUUUUUUCGGUUGGUCCUAUACUCCCCUCUGUGUGUGUCUUGAGAUUGACUUGAUUCAACCCCUAAUCGAUCGAGUCAAUAAUGCCGACGACGACGACGACGACUAGGAAUGGUCGAUGAGUUCGGUGACCCAUUAUUCCUAUGUCGCCCGUCUUUCGAGUUCUCAACAAGAGCUGAACAAUUGACGCAUUCAGUGAGUGCUGUGUGUAUAUACGUUAGGUGCGGCUAUACUGUAUUCCUUGCCAUGUCACCCUGAGUACAUAGAAAUACAAAGUCUGUAAUGCACUACAUAGCAACAGAAGGCCGCCGAAAGUCAUCAGCUAAAAUAUAAAUGAAGACGCCGAGUCGGCUGGUGUGGAAAACUACUAUACGAUACACAACUCUUAUACUUAUACCGACCCACUCUGUAUGAAAAGGAAGGGCCGAUGUCGAUAUCUAAUUCAGUAUAACAUCAAAAAUGGAGUGGCAAAUCGUAAGAGGUACUUGUGCGAGCCAAAUUCUUUUUGCGUGAAUUGAGGGGGGGGGGUAGUGCCAUUUAAAUUCUGAUACUGUGGGCUGGAAUUUCUAUACGGUUCGUGGUUGGAAACGUAGAGCCUGGCCAUCACUCUAAAACAAUGAUGGAUCGAUGCUAUAAGAGAAGGAAAAAUAAAGAGAACUUUCCAAUAUAUGUAUUGCUAUCUGGUAGUUGCACAGCAGUGGGUCCCAUAAGUACACUAUGCGUACCAUAUAGUGUCUGUUUAUUUAAUAAAUGAGACGGUGUCAUGAAUUUUACAAGAUGGAACAAAACAAAAAUCUGAAAAGAAACGAAGAAAAUAGAGAUGGUGCAAUAAGCGACAAGAACAAGUUGAGAUGGGUAUAUAUAAGGAAAAUAAUCGAAAAAGAUGAAAAAUCGAGUUAUUUCGAAAUGGCUGUAACUAUUGCCGUAUCUCUCCGGCAUUCUAUUUCGAUAUUUAUAAUGAUAUAAUGAUUUUCAUUUUCUAGGAUUUUUUUUUUCUCUCGUUGUUGUUUUACUUCGUUUAAUUUGAUUUCCUUUUCCAACACAUACUGUAGUUUUUUUUCACGACUCUCUCUCUCUCUCUUCUUCUCUAACCUGAGCCGGUGAUUAGAAAAGAAUGAGAAAAGAAGUGGGAAGCGCAUCACGGGGCGUACUGUUUUUCUUUACUCCUUCAACUUGAUUCUUUUUUGUUUGGUUGUUUUUCUCUCUAUUUUUUUCUUCGAAGCUUUUUGUAUUUGGUUGUUGGGACGUCCGCUCGGCUUCUAUGUGUGUGUGUGUAAGCGUUAAUUCAUUGUAAUUUAUGAGCGAAAAAGAAAAUAGAGGCCAUGAUGAGCACCACAGCCUGUAGUACUAGACACACACACACAUGAUUGGUGUCGGGAGUCGAAAUCAGAAACGUAUAGAACCUGGGCUGUCUGCUCUUCCUCCCCCUUAACGGCGUCGAACCCGAUGAUGUUUGUGAUUUGGGCUCCCAAAUUAUAGAGGUACGGUCUCGAGUAUGCCGGUUCUCGUUCUACUGCAUGGGCUCUAUAGAGUAGUACGUACAUGUAGAGGAAUCUUUAUCUACACUGCACGCUCUCUCCCAACCAGUGCACACUCAACACACGAGGAUAUGGUCGUCAGCUCCUGACACAUCCGUGGCUAUGGGCCGCCGCUAUAGGGUUUUUUUUAUGUUUUUUUUGUUUUUUGUUUUUAGACAUUAUGUCAUGUAAAAACUAUCGUGCUGCAUCCCGAUUUCUCUCUCAUUCUCUCAUUUCGCUCUGGAAAAUGAAACGUUAUUCGGUAUAGAUAUAUAAUGCUGGUGUAUAUACAGACACGCAACUGCGAUCUGCUCCGCUCCGUAGGUCUGUCGAUGGACGGAAGGAGGGAAGAAACAAAAAAACCCCAAAAAUAAUACGAACAACAACAGUAACACGACUGUAGCAUGUGCAGGAAGCGGAAAGGGUGUGUUCUUAAUGUGUACACACACAACUGCAAACCGAAAUUUCGAAAAAAAAAUAAUGUUUGAGAGAAAAAGAAGAAAUAACAAAUAAACAAAAAAAAACAUGUCGGAUUUUUUUAGAUAUAUAUACGUUCCAUGCAUAUGCGAGAGAGAUAAUAGCCACCUAUCUGAUCGUCACUCGGCAUGAUAUUUUUCUGCAACGCGUCUGCCGUGAUACGCCUACAACACACGUACACUACGUAUAGACCGGUUAUAAUAAUAUUGCCCGAGCUGAUGGCUGUUGGUGUCGUGAAUGGUGAGCUGCGACUAUAUAACUCGGCUCUCGCUGCUAUUUACAUGGAAAACGGACAUUAAACACUAUGGGGCGAAAAGAGGGAGGCCCUUCGCGAUAGAUCGGAAAAGAGAGAGAAAUACAAAGAGUCAUUAUUAUUAUGUAUACAUCAGCUACCGGUUUGUUUAGAGUUGCUAUAAAAAAAAGCUGGGCGCUGUGCUGUGUUGCGCUAUUUCUCCUGUUGUUUGUUUGAUUCACGCUCCGAGACUGUGCUGUGUGUAUUUGACACUUUAGAUUCGUUAUGUCGUCGAUUCGUUAUGUCGUCGAUUCGUUAUGUCGUCGUCCCAUGUUAUUUUUACAGAGAGACUGGGUCAUUUUUUUUAUCACUUUUCUACUUCAAAUUGUGUUCUUAUUGUUUCGACCGUUUCUUUAUACUACGUAUAUGGCGAUAUCAAUCAUCAAUAAAGUCGUUAUUGUUGCAAACGUUUGCUGCCAGCUCUCACCGCUUCCUUCCAGCCUAUCAUUAUUAUUAAGUAACACAUAAUAAUAACAAUAAUAGUAUAAAGAAAGAAGAAAAACCCGUUGACCGCAAAAGAUGGGGUUGAUGUAGUGUGAAUAACAAUCGAACCGUACACUUACAUUCACUAUUCAGAAAAUAUGGGCUACCGCCGCUGUUGCUGCAGUGUUUUGCUGACGUAUAUUUAUAUUCUUGGUUCGACGACACUCAAAAAUAGAAAAAAGAAAAAGAAAAUAGAUAUAAGAAGAUAAUAGUAUACAUCCCUUGUUCUUCGCUAUAUAUAGACACGGGCAUAUAGAUUAUAUAUAUACAAGUCCGUCCUUUUCACGGCCAUUUUGUUUCCUUUUAUCUCCCUUUUUUGGUUUGGAGAAAGAAAGAGAGAGAGAGGGUUGUCUCUUCUCGAUCGUAGAAGCGUAACGACUCUCCACCGUAACUCGUUUUUAUUAUAAUAAAGUAUAGAGUGGAUCGUCGCUCUUGUAUUAGCAUAUCGAAUGCAGAUAUUUGCCGGUGGUGUGGUCAGAUGUUCUUUUAUGAAUAGACACAUUUUCUCUUCUUCUUUUUUGUUGUUGUUGUUGUAUUAUGGUCCUCGCUCCGUCCGUUGUUGUCGUUGUUGUCUUUCGUGAGGUGGACAUCCGCUCGCCGUCUGCUAUACUCAUUUACACUGCACAACAACGGCAACUAUAUAUACAUAUUCAUCCAUAUCCAGUCCACGGCGCAAGGGACUCUUCAAUCGCGUCUAAUAUUUAUAUGAAUACAACAACAACAAAAAUAUACCCGUUGCACUGAUGGUUAAUCUUAUCUUUUCUCAUUCUCCAUCCGUCCGCGUCUCCGGUGUCCAUUGUUGCAUUCUUCGCUCAAUAUUAGAUUGUCAUUUUCUAUUUUUACACUCCACAAUUCCAUCGUGUCAUUAUUUGUCGUUUCCACCACCGAAAAAAGAAGAAGAGUCUACCUUUUUUUCAUAUGCAAAUAUUUGAUUUCUACACAAAAAGUCAAAAAGCCAAAAUGAUAAAGAGAUGAUAGAUAUGCGAGAAUAGGAGACAGCGACAUUGUUGUACUACGUGUGUUGUUUGUAGCUUAUAUACGAAGUGUUAUUUCACGAGGCUAAUAGAGCGACUUAUAUGUAUUUUGGCAAAUAAAAAGGAGAAAACGCUUGAACCCCGGUGACCUGCAACGUGUCGAGUGUCUUGUUCUCGUGAAUUUCUUUCGCAGGUUUUUCUCGCCUCCAUUUUCUGAUGUGUGUUUCUCUCUUGUGUCAUGACUUGAGUGACUCUGUCAUUACCGCAGGAUCACUUACUUUCAACUGCACAGCGAAUGGAGCAGAGUAGAGCCAAGAGAGCUCGGCUAGUUGACUUUUGCUCCGCGUUAUAUAUAAAGUGUCUGUCGUGUUGUUUUGUUCUUAUUUUUCCUCUCCGGUGGGUGGAGUCGAGAAUCGUGUGUGGUGUAGCGCGUACGCGUAUUAUCUAUAGAGAAAGGUAGACACAAACACACAGCAUAAUCAACCGCUAUUUUCCAUUUCAUUUGAGAGAGUUUGUGCUUUAUUAGACUCGACGACGUGGGUGGAUAUGCGAACGGGCGAGCGGACGGGGAUUUUCUUUUUUUGUUUGAACAUUUUUUCGCACGACAUGGCUCCUUUUGUCGCAGGGCGUUACUCGUCCGGGAAUUUUGACUUUGCCUGAUUUUUUUUUUAGGAUACCACGUCGUACCCGGCACCAGCACGGCGUGAGCCACACUGCGCCGAUUUAUAUGAUGUGUGGUGGUGGUGAACCCGUGCACGUAGGCACAUUUAUAUUUUUCCCCUCUCCAUCACGAAGAUUAGAAUAUACAUAAGGGAGAGAGAGAGAGAGGGGCUGAAAGAGAUUGACAGCCACGGUACACAAUUUUAUAAUAAUAACCUAGUAGAAGAAGUACUACUAUAGAAGAAAUGGAGGUGAGUACUGUGGUUAUAAGGGCUCACCCUCUGGAAAAUGUUUCCAAAUUUUCCCCUCCACAUGUCCGCAUAUCCCGUGAGCUAGAUUCCUCCCUGUACUACUGGAAAUAUCGAUGCCGCGGCUCCUUGAGCUCCCAACUUUCCACCUCGGUCGCGUCUAUAAAAGGGGCUGAAAGUUUAUUUUCAACUUUUUUCUUCACGUUUUUCCACACUCGUCAUACCCCCCGCCAAAGAACAAAAUGCACUCGGUGAACUCUACUUAAUGCGAGCGCCUUGUCGUGGAAGUGGGCAUUUAUUGAGGAUGAAGGGGGGAAACAAAAUAAAAAAAAAAAAAAAGAAAAGAUGACAGACACCAUAACAGCGACGUCAACCAUAUUGAGCUCGUCUCCGGUAGCCCCGGUCGAGUUAGACAGACAGAUAGGGAAAUCUAGGUAGAAUGCACCGGUACUACAUGACUGUGUAGGGGUCAUUAGAUGUGUUCUCUCUACUUGGAAUUCUGGCCCCUCUCUCUAUUCAGUUGAACGUGUAUGUACUGUCGUGUGUAUUAGCUGCCGAAGCUAACGGGAGCGCCCACCAACUCGUUUAGAAUUUUUUUUCUUCUUUAUAGAACGCAACUGCCGGAAAUAUAUAUAUAUAUAAGUUGAGAGAUAGAUGCUACAAACUCGGAAUAAGGAGGGAACUGUACCCACCAAACGAGGAAUAAGAAGUAGAGAGACCCCAAAAUGUGGAUGGGAUUAUACAUGGAGAGAGAGAGAGAGAGCUAGGGGCCUUAUAGACAAUGCAGUUGGCAGAGGGGGGUGAAGACCUCUUCAUGUUGGUGAAGUUCACCUGGUCCGGUGCACAGGGAGCGCAGCACUAUCAUUAUCGCAUUGAAGCAGGAUGGAAAUGAAGGAUGACUGCUCUCUGUGUGCUGGAUAAAGAGAAGCAGAGGGGCUCCGACAUCCGACGAAAAUAAAAAAUAAUAAAAUAAAUAAUAACCCUUAGCUAGAGAGAGAGAGAGAGAGAGAAAGAGAGAGAGAGAGGGUUAUUGGAUAUUUAUUUAUUAUUUUUGUUUCGUUAACCCCGAGUUAAAAGGAGGAAAAAUAGUUUUCUUAUUCUCCCGUGAAGGGAGAAGAAAUAUUUGUAAGGAAGAAAAAAAAAGGGGAAAUCUGAUUAUACAAUGUUCGACGCCCGAGUGUGUGCGCAUUCUCCUUGAUGAUUCAUCCAUCUAUUUUAUUAUAUAGUACCGUAUUUAUUUUGUAUUUUCGUUUUGAAUCGUUUCGCUCGGCUGAAUGAUCUUUUGACUCUGACGCAUUUCAGUUGAUUAGAAGCCAAAGGUAUUUCAACUUUUCCAAGUUGUACAAUAAAGUGGAACGAAUGGGAAAAGAGCUGCAGAGAAAAUAUACUAAAUACGGUACGAUUAUUGAAGGGAAGAAAUCAAACACGCAUAGAUUAGAUUCUUCGAAUAUUUCUUCACAACCCCGUCGUCUCUUAUUAUCUCAAUCUCUUUGGAAAAUAAUCAACAAGAAAAAGGAAAGAAACGGGGGCAGAUGAGAUAAUAAUAAUAACAAUAAAAAAAAGGACAAAAAUUCUGAUACUGAAAAUGCGAUGAUGAAAUCAAAUCCGGGGAAAAAAUAUAUAAAAAUGACGUCAAGGCAAUUUUUGUAUUUUAUUUUUCUGUGAAAUCAAAUAAUAAGAAAGAUAAAGAAAAAAGAAAAAUAACACAACAUUUUGGACAGCACAGUCAAGAGCGGAUAUCCGAUGAAUGGCCUUGCUGUCAUCACGCGGCUAUAGCUGCAACAGCCCAUCGUCAAGUGUUUCAGAGUUCUGGAAAGUUGACUUCCUUUUAUUAUGUUGUACUACUCCUCUAUACAUACGUGAGUGUGUGUGUUGCUGUACUCUUUUUCCAUAUAAGUAGGAGCCGAGUCGAGUCUACUCUGCUGUUCUUGUUAUUUUCAUUUCAUCGCCUCCUUGUUUCUUAUUAUAUUUUUAUGAUUAGAUUUCUGCGUUUGUGUCGUUAUUGUUGUUGAUGGAUUCCACGGUCAUCAAUUUGCUGUAGAGAAAAAUACGACGACAACGACGGCCAUGUCGUUGGCCUCAUUGACGUCUGAGACUUUCUGUCCCGUCUUGUUGCCAGACGACAGAAUAGAGAAGAGUUAUGCACGACUACACGUCAUGCCCGUGUUUCAACCGGAGAGAGUCACAAUUUUUACGGGAAUAAUUUCCUCUUUUUUUUUUGUUUUUUUUUGUUUUAUUUUUCUGUUUUCCACGAAAAGAAAAAAAGAAAAGAAAAAGAUACGUUAACAUAACAUUCACACCGAUUUGAAAACAUUGCCUGUAGGCUAUGAAAACGGGACAGCGUUAUAAGACGAGAUCAUUCGUAAGGCUCUGAUUUUUUCACUCCCGAAAUAUUUAUUUAUCUUUUAUUUUUUUUUUGAAAAGCCCCAGCCACGAUUUUCCCGGUAUAGUAUAUACUCCAAUCAAAAAGGCUCUGGUGUUUAUUUAUUCAAUUGCAUUCCGCUGCGGAUAUUAUGCGACUGUGCGCAUCUCUAGAGGUAUGCGCCGAGUCCUCGGAAUUGGAUUUAACGGAUCCUACACGCGUAGAAAAAAGAAAAAAAAAUAUGAACGUGAUGUAAUCAUAAGUUAUUCCCAUCUUCUCUCCCGCCUAUUCAAAUCUCUCCUAUAGUCGGGAAAAUAUGUCGUCCCGUAUCGAACUUAAAUCAGUCGCUCGUUGGUAUAAAUAUACAUACACACAUAGUACGUAUAGUAUAGGUGUCUAGUGUGGUAUAGGUGGUGGUGGUGGUGGGCAGCCCGUUUCCAUCGUCGUAUUUCACGUUGUCUCACUCGUCCCUUUUUCUUUCUUUCUUCUCCUUUUCCCCUUCUGCGGUUUUCAUGAUUUGAGCGUGUCUUUUCAGGCUUUAAUAUACGAGACAUGUAUACACACAUACCCGCCUCUCUCUCUCACUCGCUCCAACCCCCGGGAUAAUGUCUCUCUGUGUGCCGUUGGUCGGAGCUGCGACUCGUUGCGGGAAAAGCGGCCAACCAUUGCAGAUAUCAGGUCUACGCACGCAGGGGCAGCGCCGAGGCCGGUCGAGCAGGCCAGCAGCUUCAACACCGUACGUAUUUUAUCAAGUCCUCCUUCUCCUCCUCCUCCCCAGCAGGACAAAAUAUGCGUGUGUGGGUGAUGUAUACACACACACAUAGGAGCGAUGACGGCGGGGGGUGUAGAGCGGGAAAAGAAAAAAAAGUUUCCGAUGGUUAUGCAACGAGCCAAAAAUGCGUCGAUGGAAAUAUCGGAGAAAAGGAACGAACAAGAAGGGGAGGGUGAUGUAAUAUAGUGGACAUAAAUAGUGUCCACGUCUUGCCAUAGUGCCCCUCUAUUUCGUCCCCCCCCCUCCACGCAUUUUUCCUUCUUAUAUUCGGACGACGACGACCAAAACGCGCCCACAUCGGUUGGCCGUGUACGCUGGCGUGAGCGGCUGGCGCUAGCCCCGUCUUUAUGAUGCUAAUGUCGACUGAUUGUUAUCCCGUCGAAUUAUUGUAUGCCCCACUCGCGGCCGUUAGAGAGAGCCGGACGCGGUCCCUCGUCGUCGUGCCAGCAGCACCCCUCGUUACACAACUGCAAGGGCGAAAAAGGGAGAGGAGAGCCUUGAAUAUUCACGAAGAGAAAUCGAAUCAUUUCGUGUAGAUAUAUCCCACACACGGUAGACGUCACACACAUAUACGUACAUAUAUACGCUCGGCGUCUCCUUUUGAUAUAACAAGCAGAGUUACGUAAAAAAAAACAGCACAAAGAUACUCGUCGGAUAGAUAUAAUAAAGAAUUUAGACGUGAAAGGCGAAGCGUUAUAAUCUGAAGGGAAAUAAGAAGAAGUAUGGAAAAAAAACGUGAUGGACGGUGUUUGCUUUCGACAUCGGUACGGGACCUCUGGUACGGUAGUUGUUGUUGGUGUUAGGCGUCUCUUAUUAUCGUCUGACAACUAGCAAGAGAAAAAAGAAAAAAAAAAGGAAAAAAGGGAAAAUUCCUGUCGUCUUCUUUCCGCUCUUCUCUUUCGUGAAAGCCUCGCAAGUGUAUACGUAUAUACCGGCUGGGUGGUGUGUGUCUAUUUAUAAAUAAUAAACGACGUGAAUAAGGAUUUUUUUUCUUUUUGAGGGGAUGGAAAGAGACAAUUCGAAUCGGUGGAUUGAGGUCACGUUCCUUCUCUUUUCAACUGUCGCAUGUCUUUUGUAUUUUGACGUUGGUCUCAGCCUUUUUUUUUUGUCUGUCUAUCUACAGUACCGUACCUUCUAACAAAAUAAAAUAAAAUCCCCAACACAUUUUCAGAAGGCUCAACCAAAUAAGGCUCCACGGUUUAUUUUUUAUUUUUUUUUUGAAGCUCACUGAAGCUCCUCUAUAUAAGAAACGACUGAUUUCGUUGAAUGAAAAGAAUAAAAGAUUUUUUUUUUCAAGGGGAAAGGGGGAUGUUCGUUCAACGUGAAAACCCCGCCCCCUGAAAUCAAAUCGUCAAGUCUCAAAGUCUCUCGGAAGACGCAAAAACAAUAAAACAAGAAAAUGGAAAGCUGUGUAGAGGCGAAAGAAAGAGAUUUGCUAUACUUUGACGUAAUAAAGUGCACACACACACACACACUGUAUCCGUUUUGUAAAUAAAAAAACAUAUGCUUUGGGGCUCUUUUCAUCCCUUUGGAAUUGUGUCAGCCGUUUUAGUCUCGCUCUCUCGACGUAACUGGAUUCGUUACAUAUUAUCGAUUCAUUCUCUGAUAAUGUCUAGAGCAAAGUGAUCCCCCGUUUCCGCUCCUCUUUUCAUUUGAUUUGAAUUCUCUUGGCCACUCAUCCGAUUAAAGAGAUGAUUGCCAGAAGGGGGGAAGGAGAAGGAACGCUGAUUGGUUUCUCGGCGGGAGUACAUAUAUAUAGUAGAUAUAUUAAUGUCUGUGCUGCCGCUGGGUGGGUGUCGUUGUCCCCCCCCACCACCGUCAUCCUGAUGGUGCGAUCCGACUUCUUCCGUUCGUCAGCGCGGCCGUCCGUUUACUUCAUAUUUAUUUUACUUUCCGUUUUUCUUUGCUGGUCUGGCGUUUGUUGUUGUUGGACGCCCGUCGGGCGUUAGUUCCACCUCCGUGCUGUUGUGUUAUCUCUCGAUGGUCUUGUUAUUGUUCUCUCUGCGAGGGGUUUAAUUGUGAUCCAUUUUUCUUUUCCCCCUCUCUUAUACCGUUCGUUAUGGGCCCCUGUCGUCGUCGUCGUGGUUCCCCGUUUCUCCGGGCUCCGUUUGAUUUCUAUUACAUGGGAGAGAGAGAAGGACGGACGGACGGAAUAUAUACACCCAGCCAAAGAAAUAAAAGGCGACCCAUAUAGUUUCUCUUCGGCUCUGAUGGUGGGCCCCAUAGAGUUGAGGUGAGCAGCAGACAACACCGACUGCGCUCAUGAUAAGGAAGAAUGCAAUGGAGGGGAGAGAGAGAGAGACUGUCCAGUGAAGCUGAUUAGAAGAGCCCAGGAGACGAGCAACUACGGGGCAAUUUAGUGGCUCAUUUCCUUCUGGCCCGUUUUUUUUUUCUUCUUCUUCUUCUUUAUCUCUCUCCACAUUCUCUUAUCCGUUCUCCUUCUUCUUCUUCUUUUUUCUUCUUUUCCUCCGGUUCCUCUGGCAACGGCCGUUGUCAUGGGCACCCAGUCGAUGGUGCCACUAAGGUGAGUUUGUUACUCGAUGGGGAAUUUGCCCGUCCUCUGCUCGGCUGAUAUUGUGCAACACUAUACUGGCCCGCGUCCAUCGCUCCCUCCUCUCGGAAAGAAGCUUCGUGUACGUAAUAAAUAAGACAGACACCAAAAAAGAAUAGCGGUCGCGGACCAGCACAUUUUCGAAUACAAAAAGAAAAUGAACAGAACCACAGCGCCAGUGUUUGGUGGUUUGUGUGUGUGUGUUCCGUCGGGGGCCGGACGUGACGACAAGUUCCAGUUCCCGGAAAUCGUCCAUUAGGAAAGAGAGAAAAAAAAAAGAAAGAAACAAAACUCUGCACAUCCCCAAAGUGUGUCUUCUUGUCUGUCGUUUGUGUGAAUAUGUAUUUGUGUGUGUGUGCACUCUAGACGUAUAUACUAUAUACCUGGGCCGCGCAGACAACUGUACUAUACACAACACAACUCUUGGUGCAUCAUUUCCUUCUCGGUCCUAAUUCCUGCGAUCCUCCCCUUUUCUGCCCCACUUUGUUGUUGUUGCUUUCGUGUGGUAUGCGCUUCUCUCGUCGACGCUGAGUGGUUCACAGUUAUGAAAAUGUUGGCCCACUCAUCUUCUUUUUUUUUCCCUUCCAUUCUGUACAGCCGUCCAGGGGGACAGUGAAUAUGAGCCAAUGAAUGGAAUGAAUGAAUGGAAUUAGACUGUACUCUAUACGGCUAGGGCGCGGUGAGAGAGGGCACAUUUAUGAAUCUUCGACAAUUUCCUCUUGCACAUCUCGUCCGCCCAUUCUCGUCGCUCUCUUUUUUUUUUCUUCUUCUUUUAUUUGACUCGUUUUCACCCCUCGUUCAAUUACUUCAACGGUUCUACCUAUUUGGCUCCUAAAAGCCAAAGAGUUCGGUUCAGAGGCGAACACAGCUGUUGGCUGGGCUUUAACGAGGUGAAAGCCCGUGUAGUCCAACUCAUAUUCUAAAUUUCCUCCUGGUAAAAUAAGAAUAAGGGGAGAGAGUAUGAUUAAGAAAAUCCGUCUGUCUCUAGCUCUGUAUGGCAGUUAUUUUAUUUAACAAGGCAGGGACCCCCGAGUAGUGGGGGGCCUUAUAAGAUAAAACUACUGUGCACUAUUACUUAUUAUUAGAUAUAUACUAUAUAAUAUGCAGUGAAGACACACUAAGAGUUACACCACCACAGAGGGAAAAAAAGAGGGGGGUCGUGCUGUUCCGGAAGCGAGAGUUUUUGGGGUCUUUUGCUAUCCACACGCUCGGCAUCUAUACCUGGUUUUUCUGACAGGAUAUUCGCUGCCAUGAGCAGAUCCAAUUUAGGGAGACAAUCACCCCAAGUUAUUUCUUUUCUUUUCAAAUAUUUUUCUCUUCAUCUUCGCGUGUUGCGUAAUAUUUUUAUUUUUAUUCCGUCUUUUCGGUGCGGUUGCUAUGCAACAACAACUAUUGAACUCGUUACGCAAUUAGAAGAGCUUUUCUUGAUGGAAUUGUGCCUAAUUCUUUUCCAGCCGUUCUUUUCUCAUUCAAUCGGUUAUUCACUCUCACGCCGUUCUUUUUCCCCCGAUUCUUCUCUUGUUGUUGUUGUUGUUGUUGCUGUCUCCCCCACGCAGGAAAUCGACUAUACCCGAAGCUCAUUACCGGAGCGCCAGGCAACCACACACACACAUAUACAUUUGACAGCUAGAAAAAGAAAAGAAAAAUUUUUUUUUUCCCUUUUUCUUUUUUUUCUUUUUUUCUUUUUCUUUUUUUAAAUGUGAGGUCGUAAACAUCACCGAGUCCGCACGCUCUGCCACCACAGCCCCCGUGUGUCUCCUCAUGCCUCCCUUCCAAAAGCCAUAACUGUCCAACGUUUGGCUUGUUGGGGGCUCCAAUACUCGGUACACAAAUUACAAACACACAAACACACAGACACACACACAAGGACGUUAGAUAGUCUCUCCUAUACGCGUACAGUGUAUACAAGUCAAGUAGACAGGCCGGGGCACACCAAACACCAAAUAUCCAGCUAACGAAUAUUUCCGAUUGCCUCCUUCGGGUUUUCUUUUUUUUUUUCCCGUUGUAUACCGCUGGGGACAUGUUUUUAGACGCUCUGGGGGGUCUCUCUCUCGUCUUGCACAAACACACACACAUAUAUAUCCACCAUAUCUUUCGAGGACGAUGGCGUAUAUACCGAGUGAAAAACGAAACAAACAAACAAAUAAAUAAUCAGGAAAGAAGAAGAAAAAAAUAAAAUAAAAAGGGCGAUGGGAAAAAAGAAAGAAAAAGAAGGAAACAAAUUUGUUGUUGUUUAUUUGAUUUGGAACAUGUUGCAUGCGGGGCAUAAAGAUCAGCACGCCGCCCGCCGGUGACUCUCUCUCUGACUGUGUGUGUGUGUGUGUGUGUGUACGAGCUGUCCUAAUCACCGAUGCAGACAGGUCCCGCGAACUAAUCUCUUUGGACGCGGUUUAUCGGUCGUGCUGUGCGCGGCUUUAGCUGGAAAUAAGCGCACCGAGGGACAGAAGAAAAAGCAGAAGAAAAUGUUGCCUAUAUAUCCUAGCACACCAGACUAUAGAACUUCGAUAUGCAUGUGUACAUUAUUCAAAUAGUCACUUGCUGUACAGCGUAGUGGGUUAUUCAUAAGGCCGCGCGCGGUACUACUCUACAUAUGUAUAUUGUAUUUCCACAAUGCAUAGAGAAACUGCUGGUUAUAGAUAGUUUUGACUGACGCGCUCCUUCUCUCUAUAUCCUCUCCAGCUCGGCCGUCGUCCGCAGCGUUUUGAAUUGCGGAUGCAUUCAUUUUUUAACUUGCAUGCAGCAGCUAGCUGUAUAGAAAUGUAUUGAGGCUCUGUUGGCGGGAGGGGCUUUCUCUCUUAGAGUCUCAGCGAGAAGAGAAAGAGGAUCGUUCGUGAGUUUGGCAGACAUUUUUUGAUCAAUCUGUUUCUUUCAUUUUCCCUUUUUGUUUUGGUUUUUUUGUUUUUUUUUCUGCGUUCGGAGAGUUUAAAAGGCUAAACACAAGAAAAUCAGAAAGGAUGGAAAAAGAGAAAAGAACAUGAACCUCAUCUCGGUUGCCUGUCUCGUUUGAUCGUCCCUUUGGAAGUCCAAGUCAGCGUGAUCUAUUAUAGCCGACCUUUUUGCAUACGUAGCGAUAACGAGGAUCGAAGAGCGGAGACCAGCAUUCUCAUCUCUUUUCACCAGAAAAGAAAAGAAGAGGAUACCGGCUUGUCUAUGUAGAUAUACAAGAAAGAAGUCUAGUCGAGAUAAUCACAAUAUCCUCUGGCACACACAUCUAAAAGCGAAAAGAAAACCCGAUAGGCUGAGCAAGAUGAGGCGAGAGCCCGGCAGAUGUGAAAUUGUAGGCUUUUCCCUCAUUUUCGUCGGCAUGAUCUGAUAAAUAAAUAAUCAACCGCUCUCCGCAAACCCACACGCGGCACGCCGCCCAAGCGAAAGAGAAUGAAUAAUCGAGACGGUGUAUAUCCUACCACGGGAUGAAGUAUUCAAAUAGUAACCAAAGCCAACAAGCGAGAAAAAGAAGGAGAAACACAUCGAUUGUUUGAUUGAUGUCGAUGCGCAUAUUAGAAAAGAUGAGCUCUGCUGCAGCAGCGCCCAUUUGAAAACAAACGUAUAUACUAUACAAUAUAGUACUCCGGUCACGACGUCUUGGGAUUUGUUCCUUCAUCAUCGUUGGGCUGUUGUCGUUUAUUCGAUGAAUUUUUUUAAGGUUUUUUUUUUAUCUUUUUUUGAUUCGACCGGUUCGAUCCGCUCAGCGGUUUUGUGUACAUUGUGUAUCAUCGCUCUGCGUGUCUGCGGUAUCGACGCCCCCAUUUAUUUAUUUAUAAUCUUAUAAAAAGGUGGAAAAAAAAAAGAAAACAAGUGGGUGGGGGAAGUUCCGAAGGGAGGGAGAAACAAAAAAGGGAAAAACUUUUUUGGGUAGUGGUGGUGGUGGUGUCCAAGAGAACUCACGAAAAACAAAACACAACAAAAUGAAAAAUAAGAGUAAUGCAUCGAUCAACCCCCCUCCAAAAAAGACUCGGGCCGGGUGUCUUUAUCACGCUAUUGUUUACUACAGACACUCUCAGGAGUUGCUCCGCACUCUUGUAACAACACCGACCAGCCGGACCAGGUGAAAAACGGAGGAGAAACAAUUUUUGGGGAAGAAAAUAGAAAAUACCAAAAAUAAAAGAAAAUGAAAACCGUGGCGUGAAAAAACAAAGCGCUGCUGGGCUUUCAUGGGGUUUCCUCCGAUUUUUUGUGUUUGCAAAGUGGAUAUAGAAAGAAAAAAAAGCUGCGUAAAAUGACACGUCCGUCAUUCGCUGGCGGACAAACAAACGAAGUUAAAAAAGCAAAAAACAAUUGAAAAAGGAUCGAACGAACUUUUGAAAAGUGCUGGAAAAUCGUCUGGGCCCCCCUUGUGCGGCCGCUUAUAUCGCGUGAGUUGCGUCAAGAGGGGCUUUCUUUUUUUCCUUAUUUUUUCAAACGACGAAAAUGGAAGGUGACAAGGAAGCGUGACUCAUCCUCGGUGUAGUAGUGUAUAUACCCAGCACGUAAAGGCCGACGUUGUAUACAAUAGAGGAUCGCUCAGCGCGGCUCAGAGCCAGAGCUAUAUAGCAACUAGCAGCGUCUGUAUGGCGUACGGGUCGCUGAGCUUCUCUCCUGUGAGCUAUUUGGACUGUGCAGCACAAGCUGGGGGCACAGCAUACACACGGUGACAUUCUCUCUAGAUAUAGAUACGUCUAGUUACAUGGGGGGCUUAGCGUUAGCGACCCAUGUCAUUGGAUGACGGUUAUAAUAACUUUUUUUCCGUUUCUAUUUUUUUUUUCAAGAGAAAGAGAGAGAAAGAGUAUCAGUUCAACGGAGUAGACACAAUGGGCAUGGAGUACGUACGGUACGUACCACUCUUAGUAUAUAGGUACAGGUACAACACAGCGCAGGCCGGCCGGCCCUGUUGGCCGGGCUAUUAGGAAUAAAUCCGUCGAGGCGGAUCACGACAACCCGAAUGAUAAUAUAUAUAUGAAAACACACCGGCCCCGGCCGGCAGCUGUGUUGACUAAAUAUUUCAAUAAUAAUAUUUGACUUCUAUUCAACUGUAGAAAAACUGUUUAGAUGAUGACAUGCAAAGAAGAGAUGAAGGUUUUUUUUUCCCAUUUUAUUUUCCCUUCUUAUAUCCAGCAUGUGAUGAUUAUAUGAUUGUAUAGUGUGUGUGUGUGUGUGUGUACGUUUGAAAGAUGGAAAAAGAAGAGAAUAGAUACGGGAUAAAGUGAACGCGGUCGUGACGACCGGGACGAUCUGGUCUCCAUCUGCCAUGACAUUUUCACGUUUCAAUUUUUUUCUUCUUCUUCUUCUGUCUCCUUUGGGCUAUCAGCUGCUGUUGCAACAGUGUGCCGUGUGUCAGCGCGUCUCUCUCUCUCUCUCUGUAUGUGUGUGUGUGUAUCUAAUGACAGGUCAAUUACGUCGACUCAAGAAGAGUAUAUACAAAAAAAUAGAAAAAGAGAGAAGAAGAAGAAGAAGAAGAAAAACAAGUUGAAGCAGCGCAUCUCUCACGAAGCCCGAAAUCUCGAGAGGAGAGCCAAGGAUAUCCAAGAGGAUGAUGAUAAAAGAGUCUAGAAAAAAAGGGGUAUCUAUAUAGUGGGGGGGAGAGAAGGAGGAGGAGAAUAACGCGUGAGUGCGGGCACGUUGAAAGCCCUGAUGCAACAAGAAUCUAAUCCUCAAAAGAAGAAGACGAAGGCAAAGAACGACGCGCUCUAUCUAACGCGUCUCUCGGUCCUCUUGUCUCUCUUUAUCUCAAUUGCUCCCGAGUAUUUUUUUUUCCUUUUGCGCCUUGGAACAGAUUCCAACUGUGCUGCUGUGUAGAGAGAGACGAAGAAGCGGGAGCGGCUAUACUAUAUAGACUAUGUGCACGCAGAAGCAGCAGCAGCAGCACAUAUUCUUGUGUCUAUCUCUGCCGGGAAAUAGCCGCAGAGCGGCGAGCGACCCAACGCCAAAAACCUCGUUUUUUCUUCUUCUCCUUCUUCUUUCGCUCAUAAUCUUACAUACAAUUCUCGUUUGAUUUAUCUCUGAUGGCUUUUCGGGUAUAACCCCCCCGAGCUCGCACUUUUUCCGUAGUAUCUAACACACUGGAGAUAUACAGGCUGGAAGCGUCAUUUCUUUUUUUUUUCCUUUGCGGGGGUAACGCGCGUAUAAAAAUAUUAAUACGUGAACAAUAAACGCCAGCUCCCGGUGGAUGGAGCUCCGUGUUGCGUCCACCGAUCGACCGAGAGUUUAUUAUUGACUAUCAUAUUGAAAGACUGUGGAGAGAGAGAAAGAGAGAGAAACAACGACGGAAUAACAUUGCCAGCUGUUUUGAAAAGGGCAUCUGCCAAUCUUGCGGCACGAUAGCGCAAGAGCCAACAUAGAGAAAAUAUGAUUCAACUGUUGGUGUAUAUUAUAUAGCCUUCUACUUGCUGUUCUUGCCCUCGCCGGAAUAAGCUUGUAUACAUUGUUCAACCAAAUCUUGAUUCUCCUCUCUGAAAAAUGAGGAGAAAUAACAAUUAUAUUCAUGAUGUAUAUUACUAACAAAUAGAAUAUCCGUGAAGAAAGAGAAAAUAAGAGAGAGAAAAAAGCGUCAUGUUUGAUGGAGGAGAGCUAUUAUGUACGUAUAGUUUUCUCCCUUUUCAUCUUUUUCCCCCCUCCUUGCUUCAAUAUCUUUACGGUUGAUGAAAUAGAGAGGCAAAGGUUUGUCCGCUUCUUUUCUUCUGAUCCUUUAUAGCAUAAGUAUAUUAUACAAUUUCUUCUUCUUCUUCUUCUUGCUUCUUCUCUUUUAUAGUCUGGGACUUGUCAGCUAUAUCUCGCAUCGGCAAGAAUUGGUGGCCACAUAAAGAGAUCGAAGAUGGGACUAGCAGCGUGAUUCUUUCCCUUGGCAAAAGUAUCUCUCUCUCUCUCUCUUUCUCGUCGUAGAGAUACACACUCGACUUACAUAAGAGAAGCUAUAGGACGACAACAUCCAUAUACCAUAUUAUAAAUAUAUAUACGGGGAGAUAUAGAAGACAGGGCCGAGGCAGUGCAAGAGAGAGAGAGAGAGAUACAUCUAUCUGGAUAUAUACUGAAGAGGCUCUCUCUCUCCUGCCCAGUAUAUAUGAACGUCCAACUCUUGUGCCUAUAUACAGAUAGAUAUAAAUAUCUACGAGUAUCUAGAGUAUAUAUACGUCUAUGUGUGUGUGUGUGUGUGUGUGUGUGUCUAGUCCCCAUCUAUAUUGUAUAGACGAGAACAAAUGGACGAUUGAAAUAAAGCGAACGGGAAUCAAAAGAAAGAUGCGAUACACACACACACACAACAGGAAGAAGGAGGAGGAGAAGAAGAAGAUGAAGAGGGAGGCCUUGUAUAUAAUAUCUGGUUUUAUGAGCGACCGCCUUUCAUGGCGACAGCCAAGAGAGGAACACAGACGAGCAGACUUGCGAAAGUUACGCACGCACAACAGUUACUCGAUACCCCCCGAUGGCAUAUACAGUUGCAAAGGGGCUUACAUGUACGUUUUUUUUGUUUCUUUUCUUUUUCUUUUUUCCCUUCUGGCCUAUGGGCCUCUCCCCAUAUCUCCUUCAUCUCAUCCGAAUGGACUGGCUGCCGCUUGCCUAUACAUGGGGAACUCGUGACUGGCCUCCGACAUCCAGGUCUAAAUAAGUUACAGGAAAAAUACAGGGCCGAAGAAAAAUCAGGACAGCAGCAAAAGAAAAAGAAACUAUAGACACACACACACACACACAGAGAGAUAGAUAGUAAAUACAUAUAAGGACUGGGAUUUUUUUUCAAGGGGGCCCAAGCUUUUGCUUUCAUCCAGACACGUGUUGUUACAUAUGAAGGGGGAUUGCGCAGCGUGCCCAGCAGCGGAUAGACACAACUAGUCUUUUUUUUCCACAGUGAGAGAGAGAGAGAUUGAAGGGAGGAGUUGCACGACGAGAUGAGCGCGGUCUGUAAAAAAGGUUCUAUGAAAAGGGAGGAAACGGUCCAACCGAUGAUGAUCUCGUCCCGUGUAUAUAAAUACAUUUGAAAAACGACAGAGAGAGGGGAGAUGGAAAAUAAAAAUAAAAAGAAUCUCAGUCAUGCUGUCGCUUCUGUUCCAGGGGUUUUCCAGUCGUAUGCCAGUGCUGUGUAUAUACGCUUCGGAAGCACCUCACAUGUGAACCAUAGCCGCGCCCUAUUUCCCCCCACCCCCCCCCCCCUCUUAUUCCAUCGGCAUAGAGAUAAAACGGCGUCAGCACACGGAGGAUCAAAGGCGGCCCAUAACGAGGGAAUACAAACAGAGGAAACUUAACCACCACCACCACCACUAUACCCACCGAGUCCUCCACCGCACCGCCGAUGCCAUCAUUGCCCUGACGUCGUUAUAUCCGUCCGCCCCCUUCUCUCUUUUCCCCAUCUGACAAUGUCCGAACCACCGCCGCGACGACGACGACUUAUUGUCCCAUCCGAUUCUCAAUUCUCAAUCCCGGCUAUUAUACCUUGGAUAGAUACGGCACAACAGACGACGUAUUUUUCUGUAGAUUGGGCAGUUGCGAUGGGGGGAUGACUGGAAAUAUAUGGACGACACAGAGCCGCCACCGCCGCCGCUGCGGCUGGGGGGAUUUUGUUGUUCAUUGAUUGAGCCACCCUCUCUCCGGCCUUUCGUUCAUCUCUUCCCUUUAGCCUCGUCAUCAAGUAUAUUGCGAUGGUCGAGGCAGCAGCAGCAGCCGCAGUAGCAGCUGACCCUUCUCUGCUGCCCUCAAUAAAAACCAACCACCACCACGUAGUAUAUACCAUCCCAUAUAGCCUUUAACGUCCGCAUACACGUGCGGACGAGCCGAGCCGAGAGAGAUUAGACAUGAUGUGCCAUUGCCGAAAGGCCAUAGCAUAUAUAGAAUCUCUCUCAUUCUUUCUCUCUCUCUUUUCCUCUUUUUUUGUGUGUGUCGGUGAGGUACAAAGCGAGCAGUGGAUCAUUUUCGGAGGGAUGUUUCGUUUCGCAUUUCGUCUCGGCUAUCGCCCGCGCCGCUGACCGUUCACCCAAUAAUGUGUGACACUGUGUGAAUAUAACGUCGAAUAACUAAAUCAAUCUAAUAUCAUAUCCUAUAUAUGUAUACAAACACUUUUUCGAUGAAAGCCGGACAAUCUGAUUGAUUGGUCAAUUGAUGAAUGGCGCCCCGCGGUAGUGAGUGCUCCUUUCGCACGCGGAGAUGAACGAAAAUGAUAUGAGCAACUUCCUUUUUCCUCUCUUCUCUGCUAUUAUUAUAGCCGGUCAGCUGCUCUUUCCUUUUCAUUCUUUGCUGCAGUUGACGGAAGUUGUGUGCUGUAUGCCAAUAUGUGUUGACGGACCAUAAUCUCCCGUCCCCCCCCCCCUCUCUCUGUGUCCGUUCCGUUCCGUCCCUCCGUUGGCCCUGUUUUGGCGACUCAUUCCGGCCCGAGACCUUAUUUCCGCUCGAUUAUUACACGACGAUCAAAUCGAUUUGGAGCGACACGCUCUUCUUCUUCUUCUUUUUUUCCAUCGGAUUUUUCUCGAUCGAUCCCUCAUCAAGGAUUAAAUGUGUAAAAACACGUUGCGGCAGCAUAGGACGGAAAAGAAGACUCAGGCAUUGCAAAUAGACAUGUGAAAAUUUAAGAGAGAGAGAGAAAGAAAAACAAAUAAAAAUAUAUCUCUGAUGAGUUGAUCAAUAACUAAAGUCCUUCAGUGACGCAAAUCCGACUCUGAUCUACAUUUUUUCUUCUUCUGUGAGAGAGUUGACAGGGUUCGAAUUUUUUCCAUUCUGGACCGUGGAAGGCUUUCAUCUUAUUCAAUUGCACUUGUCGGAAAAAGUUAUAACAGCGCAUUUGUGAUGACUCGUCAAAGGUGACACGAACUUUUCACUAAAUAACACCGCCGGCGCAUCGCCGUAUACACCCGCAUAUAUUGCAUGGCACGCACGGAGUGCUGCACUUGAACUUGAAAGGACAGUCCGAACAAGAGCGACGGAUAGUUCUUCCCUGUUUUUUCCUUUAUUCCUUUUUUUUCUCCGUCCCCUUUUCCUGUUCUGCAGGAAUAAAUAAACCCAACGACGUGUGUAGUAUAUUAGGAGGAUCUCGUCGGUGUUGAAUGGAUGAAGAGUGGUGGGGUAUAGAGUAGGUGAUGAGGAAUAAUUCUAGCUCGACAUUCAUCGAAAGACAAUUGGAUUACCUAUCAAACGAAAUAAAUCGGUUGGAUGUAUGCAGCAGGGGACGGGGUCCAGCUUUGGCUGUCUCGUUUCUUUUCUUUUUUCUAAUACAAUAUUUGACACAUUUUUUUUUUUGCGGUGGCAUUCUCAUGUCUAAUCAAAAGCCAUCAGCCAUCGAAUUUUAAAACCCCUUUUGGCUGCGCCGCGUAGCACAUACAUAUAGUAUGGCCGAAGGUUGACCACCCAGCAAUCUUCUAGUGCGGCAUGUUCCUCGUAAUCUUAUCUCAUUUUGAAAUUAUUGCGAGCUUGGGAAAUCCCGCGCGUGCAACCCCAAUGACUUGUUUCACGGCUGGUCGCCAGGUGGGCAGCACGGUUGUUGUUUUCACCGUGAGUUAUUGCGAAUCUAGUUGUGCUGCAUAUAGAAUAGACUGGUGACGAUUUGCUCGGCGCAUAUUGAUUGUAUUGCACGAAAGGCAUUUUGGGUCGAUUCCUCAAGAGCAAUCCUAUCAGGUGGCAGGCUCAGUCACGCCAUUUACAAUGGUAUGCUGCACACGCGAUUCAUGAUCGAAAUUGGAUUAUUAUAGAAAAAUGAAACAGUAGAUGCGGGAAUUGCCCCCAAACGAAAGGGCAUAUUACUCUAUAUAUGCGCUCGAUAUGGCGGAAGCCAAUAGUCGUACGUAAGACACGUUCAACGACGUUGACUGCCGAUAUAGGAUCAACAACCAGAAAAGGGAAAUGGUUUCACCACCUGUGUAAUGGACUGGAUUCAGUCGCAUUCUAUAAGCUAAUAAGUCUAUCUAUCAGCUCGCAUAUAUCCACCUCUUUUCUUUUAUUCGGUAAAUACCUAAAUGUCAUUCUCGGCAGCUGUUUCCUGUACAGCAUUAUCCAUAUUGCGUUAUGCCUAUGUGUAUUAUAGCUCUAACCUUUGAAAAACUGAAUUCGAAUAAUCUUUAUUAUUCCAUCCUACAUAGUCCUAUACACACAGCGACGACAUAUAGUCUGGGUGUGUUAAUUGAAUUUGUCCAUACAUGGCCCCCCGCCCCCCCCCCCCCUCACUUUCUCCUUCUUCCUAUAUUGGGAGAGAGGAAGACAAUCGAGUUGCGCAUUAUUAUUUAUCUUUUGACGCUCUGAUGGCCGCGCUACUGCUGAUGGUGACAAGCCGGGGCUGUUUUAUAUAUACGAAGGGGGGAAAAGGAAACACUCGAACAGCAGCAACAGAGGCUUCAAAAUAUCUCAAAACAACCCCUCUAGUCUCUCUCGUCUCCUUUUUCAUCUGCUCCCCGUCGUACCUCCUUCCUUCCUUCUGGCUUCGUUAUGUUAUUAUAUUUGUUAGCUUGUGUGUGUCGACACUGUGUGUCUGUGUAUAUAUAUAUAUACGAAGACAGAGAGAGGAAAGAGGAGAAAGAAUAAAAGUUGUAGUAGUAGGUCGUGUAUGGGCUACCAUCACGAGACCGAGUGACUUGAGAGUUCACCGCCGGCCCUUGAGGGUUGUUAACAUAGUUUUCCCUCGGAAUAUUUUCCCCUUGUUUUUUUUAUGUUAUCUUUUUUCUUCUUUCUGUUAGCAGCCAAAUGUUAAAGGAGCAGAGAGACAACACAAGAAGAAAACCUUCACUUUGAAAGGGAAGAAGAAGAAGAGAAAAAAAAGAAGGCCAACAAUAACACAGAGUGCAGACACAAAAAAACAGAGAGAGAGGAACCCCCGAAUUCCCCCCUCAUCCAUUGUUGAGUUUUGUUAAAUGCAACACGAAGAAGAAGAAGAAGAGAAAAAAAAAUUGUGUUCUAGUCUAGUAAUUCCACGUGGAUGACUCCGUCCGUUCGUGGCCGUGAGCCGACACACACACAGCACUCACAUAAGAGGUCAUCUUCCUUGGCCGGUUUUUUUUUCUUUUUCUCCUCUCUGUUAGAUCCUAUUGCUUUUUUUGGGGGGGGGGGGGGGGGAGACGGGCAGGAAGAGGCUCUUUGCUGUUACCUAGGGCUGGCUUCCUACGAUUAUUCGGUUGGGUGGACUAUUUUAUUUUCGCGAAUUUUUUUUUCUCCGUUCAAGCGCGUUAUUGUGUGUGUGAUCCAACAACUGGACAUCCAUUUGCGAAAUCAGCUUAUAAAAAUGACCAUUCUAAAAGACCUUUAUCUAGCUAGUACUAUAAAUAUAUAUAUACCGAUAUAAGCUGUUGCGAUAUCAUUCACCUCUUCUGAAGAAAGCUUUGAUCCACCUGGAAAGGUGGUCUUACACCUAUAGGAUGACAGGUCUUCAAAAGAGUCUAAGUCGUCCAGCGUUUGUGCUGCAAUGUGCAUAAAGUCCUUCGGUCCAUUGACGCGCCUUAUGCAUAAGAAAUGAGGUAUACCAUAGUAAUGUAUGCAAGUCCACUUCAUUUGUUUCCGUCCCUCUGGUGCUGCAUAUUGUGUGUGCGCUGUAUUCUCGACUUGUCAUAAGCUAUAAGACACGUUUCCUUUAUUUCUGUCUCCACCCGCUGCAUUACAGCUCGUGUGUUUCAAGUCUUUCAUGUCCUCUGUGUUUUUUUGCGCAGUUUUAUGUGACGGGCUUCUUCUUCUGUCGGAAUGUUUCAUCGUAAGCUUUCCCUGCUGCGACGGAAGGGGCCGCCAAAUGGAGGAUAUUAGAGAGAACAGAGGAAAGGACGCGGAGGAUCAUAGAAAGCUUUUGAUCCGUUCAGAUUGAUGCGCAUUUCAAAUGGUGCAGGGCUCUCUCUGUCUCUCUCUCCACUCUGCUUGUUCUUGUGUCUCUCAGACUGUCCGUCUGUCCGUCCGUCCGUCCGUCGUCGUCCCCCUCUCGGUGGAAAUGCGUCGUCGUUCUUCCACUCAUCUCGUUCCUCCUUUUUCCCUAGACUGAUGCCGCUACUUCAAUUAGUACGUGUGUAUACCCCAACAUUCCUUUUCUUUCCCUUAGCAAUUUGUUUCCUUCUUCUCCUUCUAUUUUGGGGUAAUUCGUUUCAAUCGUUUCAUCUCGUUGAAGACUUUUUUUUCUCUCUCUCGUCGGUCGAAAGGAAACGAACUGCCCGACAAAGAGUCGAGUGAAGAAAAAAAAAGUGGAAAUAAUAUGGCUAGUUUCCUCUUGUGUUUCUUGAAAGACGGCCAACUGGACACGACAGCCCCCUCCCCCAUCCCAUUUCGAUGACUUUUUACGAGCAGCCAAAAGAAGAAGAAAAAGCUGCAAAUUACGAGCGAAAUAUGCGCACCAGCGGAAGGAGCGAUUUUAGGAAGGAGAGGAUCGGCCCAGCCGGCCAAAAAUAAGUCAAUACAAUAUCGGUUUAUAUGCUCUCAUUUCUGCUGUGACAUCAGCCGCCCUGUGAAUAAGUGGGAGAAAAUCUGGAGAAAAUAUUUAUCGUAUAAUAUUCGGUUAGUCGUUCCAAAAAGGGAACAAAUGUUGAGCACUAUAGACCUACGGUACACAAGAUUCCCGACAGAUUUCUUCCUAAAAAAAAAAAAAAAAAAAAAAAACGAAUCGAGAGAAGAAAGAAAGAAGAAAGAGAGAGAGAAAAAUGAGGGCAGAAGGAAGAAGAAGAAGAAGAAGAAAUUAAUGACAUGUCAAAGUCAGGCCAGUGCGGUCGUUCCCCGGAAUUAUCUCGAGCUGAUUUGGCUCGUGUUGUGUGUGCUGGGGAGAGCACAAUAUAAAUGAGCUAUCAAAGUACAUCGAAGGGUCCCCCCCCUCUUUUGUCGAGUCGAACUUGGGAUAAAUGAGCACCGACGUCGACGUCCGUCCUUAUCGAUCCCUGCGCCGCUGUGCCGCAACUAUUUUCUCGUGUCCUUUUGCGUUUUUUUCUUCUUCUUCUUUCUUUCUUCUCUCGACAAUACAAUGCGCAGCAAACAAGGAAUCCCCGUGCCUAUACCAGCUGCAUGCGUCCAUAGCUAAUACAAUAUAUAUAUCAUGUGCGGUGUGUAUAUAAUACACAUUGCUGCUGCUGCUGCUGCUUCAUCUGUAAAACAAUCUUUGAGAGUCGACAUGUCGAUGCUUCACGACCUUUCCCAUCUUUGCCUUCUUGGGCUUUUUCCAUCUUAAGACAUCAAUGAAGAGCGCUGGCGGGACAAGACAGACUGACUCUGUGCUGCAAUCGAAGUGGAGGGCAAGAGUGCGAUCCGUGUAAGAUUUAUGAGAUCCGUUCGGCUGUCCAAAAAGAAGAACGAUCGAAGGAAGCAACCCAAAGAAGAAGAAAAAGAAGAAGAAUAUGAAAGCUAAUAACUUGAAAUACAUGUUGUACGAAGGAUCCAGGAGCGCCGCCGAUGCACUAUAUAGAAGUAUAUACAUACAGGAUGGAAAGUUAUGGUGGGGAGCACACAAAUUCGUGCAUUGCUCUCUUGUAUAUCAAUACGAGAUGAGGCAGAGCAAAGAUGACGAGAGAAAAGAUCAACAUUUAUACGAAUGUAAGAGAGAGAAAGAGAAAGAGAAAAAGGAAAUAAGGAAGGACCCGUCACUAUAGUCCAAAAGUCGCCGCCUUCUUUCAGUUAUUAAUGACGUGGAGAACAAGAGACGCGGAAAGGAAGAAGGAACAAAGUUUUUGACCCAGCAGCAGCAGGAGCAGCAGCUAUAUAGGCAGAGGAUAGGAUGUACACUGCAGAGGCUUGAUCAUAUUCACAAAACUGAUUGCUGCCAGAACUAUAUAUUCUCGGCUGUGCCGCCGCCUCUCUCAGCCUAUAUAGAUCUCUUUUGAGUUUCUUCUUUCAUGGCGUUUCCGUUGGCGGAGAAAUGAGAAACGCCAAGGAAGAAAAUGAGUCGUGAAAAAAGAAAAAAGAAAAAAAAAAAAGAAAAAGAACAAGAACAAGAAAAGACGGGCAGAUAGAAAUGUGUGUCUUGUCGUUUCUCCCGUUGCGAAUGUGUGUCUGACGGUGUGUUACAUUUGAUAUCCUUUUGCUCGUUUGCCUUUGCCAUCCUCGUAAUGUACGCGACGGCGCUCCUAGACGAGUUAUUAUUACACUCCAUAUGUAUACCGCCUGCAUGUAUCAUCUCUCGGAGAGCCGGGCCAGGCCGUUCUGUCAGCAUCAAGUCUCUCUACUUCUUCUUCUUCUUCUUCAUAUUCUUCAUAUUCUUUACGCCGUCAUCUCCAUCAUCCAGUUCUGCGCUCUCGCGCACAUCAACCAGCAGGCGCAUGCAAAAGUGCGCUAGCACAGAACUGUAUAUAUGUAUUCGCAUUUAUACUCUACACUACCAUAUACUAGAACUACUACUGUUGUUGUUUAUUAUAUUUGCGCUGUCACGAGGGCGUAACACAUUGUACGUGGCGUCGACUGUCGCUCCCCCCGGUUCCGCACUGUCUCCCUCUGCUCCGCGGGUAUCAUAAUAAUAAUAACGCAAGUAAAUCGAAAUCAAAUAAUAAAGAAAAGAAAAGAAGCGAGGGCGCGCGCGAGCCAAUGCGAUACACGUAUACAUAUAUACGGGCCACACAAACUGUGCAGAAACGAGAAAGAAUGUCUGAAGAAGAAGAGUGUAUCGCUAGAAAAAAAAAGAGAAGGAACUUGGCUGGCUGGCAGUUGAGGAGAGAAAAGAGGGGAUUUGUCUUAGUGCGGUGCUGUUGUGUGCGCUACACUAUAGACGCCAGAGAGCUGCCUGCACUUUGCGAAAUGUGCUUUGCAUCCCAGAUGAAGGGUUUUCUUUUUCUUAUUUUUUUUUUGUUCUUUAUAUAUUCUUUCCCUCUUUUACUUGGGCCUAUGUAUAAAUGAAGGCAGCCGAGGAAAAGAAAGAGAAGAAAAGAAGCCAAAGCCAAAAGAAAUGAAUGUGUAUGAGAGAGAGAGAGAGAAAGAAGAAACUGCGCACAGCCCAGAAAAAAAGGAUAAGGAAACGGACAGAUAUAUGGGUUCUCUUCCAUCUAUACACAUUGUGUGAGUGUUCCGGCCUGGAUAUUGCUCAUACUAAUGUUGAGCUUAACAUACAUUGAGAGCUUAUUGUGUUGGUGAGACUAUAGCAAGGACGGAGAGGAAAAGGAAAAAAAGAAGAAGAACGGCCCCGAUAAGAGAAGAAAUCGGGGACCGUGUGUAUGUAUACGUCUUGCGCGCAAUCGUCGCUCGUUUAAUGUUUUGCCUCUUUUCUCUGAUGCUCUCACUUUUCUUCUUUUUUGUGUGUGUUUUGAUUUUUUUCUCUCUCUCGGGUGGAGCGACGCCAACGACGACGUAAACGAGAGCAAGAGGAGAAGGAUUGCCCUUUCGGCCAUUAAGAAAAUCCCCUAGGCCGUCAAUGCCGCCGCUGCUGCCGCGCGUCGUUCACCGCCUGCCUCUGCUGCGAAACGAGAUGAAUUCGCCCAGCUAUACACAGCGCCAGCAGUGCCCGGGAAUUCCACGACUGUGUCCAACGACCGCACACAUGUAUAUACCCCUCCCGCCCAACACAUAUAUUACAGCCAGGCGUCUAUAUUCGUCUUUUGAUGUUUUGUUUCUUUUUUUUGGGGAGCUCUAUUUUCUUUUCUACAUACAAAAUGUAACUACAAGUCGUCGACGCUUUUGUAUUUUUUGACGCAGUGAAAUAACAUCAAAGAUGUUUCAUUUGAUAUUCAAUAAAAAAUGUUUACAUGUUUGUUUUCUAUAUAUGCCCCCACGUCUAUUUCAUGUCAACUUCCAUAUACCAUCUCCGCCUCCGCUUUCCUCCUCGCUAUUUUGUAUGCUUUAUUCCCUUCUAUCGCAUAUUACACAUGUUAUACAAUCAAA
Molecule: unclassified non-coding RNA, 72044 nt
Filed under: Daphnia pulex (common water flea)
Lineage: Eukaryota; Metazoa; Arthropoda; Branchiopoda; Diplostraca; Daphniidae
Description: cysteine and histidine-rich protein 1-like, transcript variant X1
Source: RNAcentral